RNAcentral lists this long non-coding RNA (84947 nucleotides) under Fragaria vesca (wild strawberry). Its description in RNAcentral is "long non-coding RNA (FVES_LNC001338)". The stretch from base 76133 to 76204 matches the Rfam family "tRNA". The record is from RNAcentral. Lineage: Eukaryota; Viridiplantae; Streptophyta; Magnoliopsida; Rosales; Rosaceae.
AAAUUAAUUUUGCUCCUUGCACAUGCAUAUAAAUUCUUUCAGCCUGUUAUAUAGAGGUAUCUACAAUUGUUGGAUUUUAUCCUACUUUGCAGCCAUGGUAUGUGCUUAUUUAAUGAAUGGAAUUUUGACAAUUUCUCUUUGGCAGUAACAGACUGUGGUUAGUUGAAACAUUUAUCAUUAUCUUUUGAACACGAAAUGUUCAUUCGAUGAGUCAGAACAUAUAAACAUGAUAGUAUGAUAAAGGAGAGACAUGUGGUUAGAUGGAAAAUCACAUUUUUCCUUAUAUUUUCAACACAUAACAUUCAUUCAAUGAGUCAGAACAAAUAAACAUAAAUGUAUGAUAAGAAAGAGCCCUGCUAGGAUGAUGAAACAUAAGAUGUUCUUCACACUGAAUUACUUUUGUCAUGGAUGGGUUAAAUUUUCUUUUAUGAAGGAUUUGGUUGUUGUUUACAGAUGAGCUCAAGGCAUCAUAUGUAUCCCUAAAAGAAAACACACAAUGACAUUGUAUUAGUCAGUGUGUCACUCCGCUUUCAUGUCUUAGUAAUGGCUGCAUGGACUCAUGCAAUCAUGGGCAUUUCCUUGGGAACACAUUUGUCAUCUUAAAACAAACUUUUCAGUUUCAAACUCCCAGUAGAAUGGCCAUAUAUAUAUACAGUCCCGAUCAGAGGUGCACGUCCGCACCGGCCUUAAAGUGCGGACGUCCCUCCGUUCUCCACCGUCCGGCGCCGAUGACGGCACGUCUCCCACCCCAGCGGACUCCAACAGCGUCCCUGGCCACUUUCCCUCCUAGGCGAGUCCGUUGAAUUCCAGUUUUCCAACGAGAUCACCCAAAACUUCAAACAAAGUCGAUCUCGCCGGAAACUGGAAUUCGGCGGACUCAUCGGGGAGGGAAAGUGGUCAGGGACGCCGCUAGAGUCCGCUGGGGUGGAGGCGCGCCGUCGUCGGCGCCGGACGGUAAAGAAAGGAGGGACAUCCGCACUUUAAGGGCCGUGCGAACGUUCGCUCUCGAACAGCUCUGUAUGUGUGUGUGUUUGUAUACAUAUAUAUAUAUAUAUAUAUAUAGUUCCCUUCAUGUCCCGCUUUGAAAUUAAAGUGUGGACCUCCUUAUUUCUCUCAUUUUUCAGGUCGCAUUUCCACAUCUCAACCGUACAAUGUCUAGAACACAGUGUGUAGAUCAUUCCUGCAAAGUUUCAUCCAAUUUGAAGAUCAUUUGGGUACCGAAUUAGAUUAAAUAAAUUAACAGAACAAAAACUGUCCAAACUGAACCGUUCGUGUAAAUCACGAUUACGGAAGCUCAAAUGAUCUUCAAAUUGGAUGAAACUUUACAUAAAUGAUCUACACACUGUGUUCUAGACAUUGUACGGUUGAGAUGUGGAAAUGCAACCUGAAAUGAGCGAAAUAAGGAGGUCCACACUUUAAUUUCAAAACGGGACACCGCUCUGGAAGAGAACUGUGUGUGUAUAUAUAUAUGUACAGGGCCCACACCAUUAGAUUUGUUUUUUAAUGGGCUUGGAUGGCUGAGAUUAAAACAAAAACUUAACACUUAUGUCAAACCUACACCGUUCAAGAUUAUUAAAAAUAAAUCAAACAUUUGGAUGACUUAACGGUCACCAAAUUUUCUGAAAAUUUGCAGAAAUGAUCUACUCAUAUACAUCUACAAAUUGAACGGUGUAGAUGUGAUUUAGUGAUUGGGAAGUUUAUCAAAUACCCUAUCCCUAAAAAUGAACAAAAAAAGGAUCCCUCAUUGGAAGGGCCCUCAUACAUAUAUAUAUAUAUAUAUAUAUAUACACACAGUCCGGAUCAGAGGAGGACGUCCGCACGNNNNNNNNNNNNNNNNNNNNNNNNNNNNNNNNNNNNNNNNNNNNNNNNNNNNNNNNNNNNNNNNNNNNNNNNNNNNNNNNNNNNNNNNNNNNNNNNNNNNNNNNNNNNNNNNNNNNNNNNNNNNNNNNNNNNNNNNNNNNNNNNNNNNNNNNNNNNNNNNNNNNNNNNNNNNNNNNNNNNNNNNNNNNNNNNNNNNNNNNNNNNNNNNNNNNNNNNNNNNNNNNNNNNNNNNNNNNNNNNNNNNNNNNNNNNNNNNNNNNNNNNNNNNNNNNNNNNNNNNNNNNNNNNNNNNNNNNCAUCCAAUGGUGUACAUGGUCUAAAUUGACUAAAUUUUCAUCUCUUAUUUGCACGCUGAAUAUUUAUAUGAAACUUCAGUAAAUUUAUAUAUGUUGUAACAACUUAUGGAGCCACCCUAUCACCAAAGGAAAAAAAAACAGUAUUAAAAGCUUUAGGUGGUUUGUAUUGUCUUACCUCAGCCUUCUGAUGUUAGAAACUAGAUGAAUCACAUGUCUGGGCAUCUUCAAGAUCUCAGUGGUCAUAUGUUGAUGUUUUUUGAAAUAGGAAACAGAAGAUGUUUUGUACAUCAGACUAAGUUUGUAUUAGAAGUAUUGAUGUUUUAUUGCCACUGAAAGGUUUUUUUUUUUCCCUCAAAGGAACAGAUAACCUUACAACACGUUCAAUUUCUCUUCCACAGGAUGGCCAUUCUAAUUUUUAAUUGGAAAAGGAAAUAGUUGGAAAACAUUUUUGUGACUCAAACGAACCCUUGCCGUUAUCAUUUACCUUUAUAAGAAAAGUUGUUAAUGAUAGCGUAGUUGAAAUUUUAAAGGGUGUGGAGUUAGAUUGCUACAGUAUGAUCAUAAAAAUGUGUUCAGACUUGAGAGUUGUAUGCACAGUAGCCAUUAUGAGAUCGAAAUAUGCUACACGAAUUCAGUUAAGGGUAUGCACAUGAUACUAUGUUUUGUUCAUGUGUUUACACAUUUGUGAGUGGACCAUUGCUUUGAUCAUGUAUACACUUUUCUGUUACCUACGAUGAAAUUGUGUUUGGACCAUUAUUUACUUUUAGUAAUGACAAUGGUUUGUCCAUUUUGCAUUGGCUUAUAUAAAUUAGAAUGUAGACUAACAUGCCUCCGUAUCAGGUGUACGUAGAAGCAUUCACCUGUCCCUGUGUUAGAUUCCACCCUUUCGAACAAUCGUUUGUUGCCCAGUCAAAUGGUAAUUAUAUCGCAAUCUUCUCUGCAAGCCCUCCCUUCAAGAUGAACAAGUACAAGAGGUACGAAGGCCAUGGGGUAUCAGGGUUUCCAAUAAAAUGUGUGUUUAGCUUGGACGGGGAAAAGCUACUGUCAGGCUCCUCAGAGGGUUCAGUAUACUUCUAUGAUUAUGGGACUUCUGAGGUUAUCAAGAAAAUCAAGGCAUUUGAGCAGGCCAGCAUAGAUAUUGCUGUCCACCCAAUCAUACCUAAUGUGAUUGCUGCUUGCAGUUGGAAUGGAGAAGUUUCUGUGUUUGAGUGAGAUGUUCAUCUAAACUUUUUCCAUUGCAAGGCAGUCUUUGUUUUUCUAAGAGAGAUCGAUGCAGAUGGAUAUAAGUCUAUAACUAGAAAAUGAAAAGGACAUACAACUGCGCAAAGAACUUUUGCUUGUAUUGUUUUCAUAUCUACCAGGUAACUACAUAUUUAGGAUUUGAAUCUUAUUGUUGUGUACUGCUCCAGCGUUUGUGGGUUUGAUUUUCGUCUUGUAGAUCUUUUAUCCUAAAAAGCUAGGCUAAAGAGGUCAUGUCACUUUUGUAUUUCACAUCAUACACAGUGUUUGAUAACCCUUUAUUUGGAACUCCUUCAAGUAAUGCUUUCGUUCAGUACAUGAUUUCUCUGCAAGCGCUGACAUUUUUAUCUUGUUGAGUUGACACUCGUCAAAUAGGCUUUGUGUAUGAUGCAAUCAAAGAGGCCAUCAUCAACGACAAUUCAUGGGUAAGUUUUGACAUUGAGCCAUUGGGGACUAUAGUAGCUAUUCAAAUCAGAGGAAAAUUUAGUCAUGUUGCAAAUGCUGUGUCGCGCACUAGCAGCCGGGAAAUUUUGAAGACUAAUCAGUUUGAUAAAACUUUUGAUCUUCCUCUCAGAUCUCCUGUAGUGUUAGACCCCAGUGCAGUGUUGAACUCGCAAGUUUAGUCAUCUCUAAUGGGUGCUACAACAAAAAUGGUAAGUUCUAAAGGCUUCCAUAGUCAGUAUAAGGAUCACCUUGUGGUACAAAUCUUGAUGAAGUCCUCAGUAUAACAUUGGUGUUUGACUCUUUUAAUUUUCUUUUUCUUUUUAAUUCGGAAAGGAAUCCUCCAAGUGCAAUAACAUGGAUAUGUUCUAGAUAUUUUCCACAAUCUAGAAUCAAAGUUGAAGAAAAUAAACUGAAGCUGUUGUAGGUUCAUUGCUGUCAGGUAUAAUGCAAUCUGGCAUUCUGGUGCUGCAGUUCAUGAUCAAAAUGGAUGUCCAGAUGCUCUUUACUCAUACCUACCAAUCAGGAACAGAAACAUGAUUCAAUUAAGAAAGAUGUGUUGGGGUAUACUCAGAGCUCUGCCUUUGUUCAUCACCCACCACCUCCCUUGACAUUCAACAAGAAGAGAAGAGGGGAAGGGGGGCCAAAAGUAUACUAAAACAAGACACAAUUAUGCAAUCCCCUUUUCAUUCUUCAUGGGGGUCAAUUGCAAAGGGGACAUAACACACCACUUCUCUCCCUUUUUAGAUGCAUUUGCAAAUGGGACCAAACCCCUCUAAACCCCCAUCCUUCAACACCACCUCCACAACAACCACAAACACAAAACACAUACACAAACAGAGUAGACAGAAGCACAAACCCAAAGCACAAUUCCAAGUCAAAAUUCAAACCAAUUCUCUCACAAAAUUAAUUAAAAAAAACAAAGCAUGCUUCUAACUCCAAAUUUAUUCCAUACCACUAUCUAGACAGACCAGCAAUUGCUCAAAAACAUUCUUGGUCCACCUGCAACCCCCUCCUCUCAAGAACUGUUUGUAUUGGAAAACUAUAGGAGUCAUCCCUAAUCCCUUUUAAAGCAAAGGAACACAGUCAUGCCAACCCUACUUUCCUAUCUACAUUACUUAUUUAAUUUCAACCUUCAUAUCAGUAUGCUCCCCACCUUAAUUGGUCUCAACUCAAGCACCUUCUUCUUCCUCUUUCCCUCUCUACAAUCUAAUCUAAUCUUGCUAGCUAACUCCCAUAUCUCUCUCUCUACAUACUUGUCACUUCAUACCAUUAUUUCAAGAAGCAAAGAAAGCUAUCUAGCUUAGCUCAAAAGUAACAAGCAAAGAAAGAAAACUCUAAAGUAUGGCACUACUACUAUUACUCCCAUAUGAGAGCAAUCAUCGUCUAAAAGAGAUACUUCUUUUUGAGAAAAAGGAAGAUUUUUUUUAUUUGGUACUUGUGGUCAAGCGGGUAUUCGCUCAUCGAGGGACCCUAGAGUUUGCCUAUCUUGAGACAUGAAACGAUGGGUUGAAUGGUUUUCACCAAUUAGAAAGAUAUCUAUGUGUUGAAUUAGGGUUUUAGGAUUGGACAUGAACUCCAUGGUCUUAAUCAAUUUUGAUUAUGCCAUUGCUUUUGAUUAGGGAACCAAAGACACCAUUAUUGGGAAUCUAAGAUCAUGCUUAACGAUGCAUAAUCGCUGCUUUGGAAUCACAAAACUAAAUCAAACCCUAGCAGCUAGAUAUACAUUAUUAAUGAACAUAUAUUAGUCACCCUCAUCAUCUUUUUGUGCCAUAUCUUUCUUUCGACGAUGAGGACUCUUUCUUUCUUCUUUGAUGAUCCAUCUUGUCGUGUUUUUCUUCAACUUUAGAUGAAUGUAGUUUAUCCUCUCCUACACUAUAGACAGUGUAGACCAUAAUCAAAAUGUUUUGUUAAUUUAGGACACAGAGUGUUAGAAAUUAUCAUCUUCCAAUUGUGGCCUUGCAAAGUAGCCGACAGACUCAUAUUUGUUGGCAUUACCAUGUGAUUUGUGACCUCAACCAAGUCAUGCAUCAAUCGAUUUUCAUUGGUUUCUCGUUUUCUAAUAAACAUUUCAUCAACUGUGAAGGGGUGUACAUCAGGAUCAGUAAGGUGCCUCAUUCUCACAUUUCAUUACAUUGCUAUAAUUUUAAGCAAAUUUAGUUACUAAAUGAAGCAUCAAAACUAUAAGAAUGAGGAAUGUAGCUGCUAAAAACCGAAUUAAAACCAUAAUUCAACUAUAUAUGUUUUAUUCAUUGAGGACCAAAUAUAGAGAUCACUGCUUAUAUAUCUGCUGUAGCAUUCACCAAAUUUCUCUCACCCUAGCUAGUUAUCCUGGACAAUCAUGAAACCAACUUUAACUGGUUGGUUUAUGCUCUCAUUGGAUUAAGAAAUGAAUUUAAACAGUCACAUUAUAAAUAUAUUGGGAAACCACCAAUCAUGAUUUUGUGAAAUGUCAUGUUCUUAUUCCUCUUCCCAAUUAGGAAGUAUUCCUUUUUAGGUCUUCUGUGUAGGUGAUAUAGCCAUUAAGAUCUAGUGAUGGCUUUUUCAUGCAUUUUAUUUAGAUUACUACCUCUUUUAUCAUGUCUUAGAAUGCUAUGCUCCACAGCCAUGAAAAAUAUGAUUGAGCAUAAGUGUAAACCUCUGGCUAAUAUUAAACAAGAGAUUUCUAAUUGCAAUCAUAUCUUAGAAAGCUAAAUAGCCGAGAUUAUGUCACCGGUUGAAGCCAAGAGUCGGCAAAACUGAAUCCAGCUAGAAUCCAAUUAAAUUGGAUUUAUGUUUGAUUAAGCAUUUUAAUUUCAUCAACUUUUUGAAUUAUAGUAAUGAUGUUCAUGCAGAUCAUGACCAAAGAAAUACUGUUCAUGCAGAGAAUGCAUGAAGUGAUUUAGUCAACUAUAAGAUCUCAGCUUAUUUAUUAGGUGGUUCCUGUAAUCCUGUAUAUAUAAUAUAGGCUUAUAGCUUGGUUUACUGUUAUCCUUAUCUCUAAAAUAAAAAAUAAAAAGAUUGCUAGCUGGCCUGGAAAUUAAACUAAGAAACCAAGAGACUGGGACAAGAUAAUCAAAUUUUCAAUUGUCAAUUAAACCAAAUCGCGGGUUAAUACCAGUAGCAAUUAGGUAAUUAGUAAUACCACACACAUGAAUCGAAGUUCAACCCUAGUUUCUGUAUUUUUAUGCUUAAAUUUUUUCGUUUUUCUAACUUAGCCGUCUCUAGGUUUCAAGAGCAGGUUUCAGUGAUCAAAGAAAUAAACCUGUUUUGUUCAAGGCUUUAUACAUCUUUUUCAAUUUUAUCAUUAGUAGAUCACUCAAACUUAUAUUGUACAUAUAUUGCAAUACCGUAAAGACGAUUAAACGUUCGUCGAGUAAAAAAAUAGUUCCAGGGACCGACUUACUUUCUUACCUGAGACUCUGAGAGAAAAGGAGGAAGAUACAGUAGAUACUAUAAUACUGAAACGAGAGAUUAGUCAAUAUAUACAUGUAUCCAGGGGAUUAAGGGAAAGUGUUGUUAGAAUCUUAGAUAUUGUAUUGUAUAACAUAAUGCUUAAUAUAUAAGAACAGACUCAUGUAUCACAUGUACCGUGGAUUAUAUCAAACACUUAAGCAACUAGCUAGUAUUGGAUUACCAGUCUCUCUAGCUAGCUAGGAAUAUGAUCGACUUGAAAGAAAGAUGAUAUUGCAGAUCGAAUUAUAUAUGAAUAUGGAUUAGGUCUGGUUUGUAAGUCAAGUCAUGGGCACGUACGUACACCAAUAAUUCUCUCCAUCUGGAUUGUUCGACCAGGUGGGGGAUUGACUUAGUUGCAGAAAAACAUCAUGAACAGUGUCCCCUAAUUUCUGGGGCACUUGACCGACAAGAGUGCACAAACAGCUAGCUUCACUCUGCUUCUGGAUAAAGACCGGCCUUUACAUUAUCACCAUCAUCCAUGGAAGAAACAGAUUACUAUUAUUGUAGCAGGUGAAGCUCCCAUUUCUCUUACCAGUAAAAUCACAGUCACUGUAUCAAAAUUAUCAACGAAAGUGAAAGAAAAACCAAACAAAAGGCCAAAGGUUUCGGCACCAUUUCUUCUUAUAUGGGUACAGAGUGAGAUCACAGAUAAGGACUACACAGAUCAAAUAUGGGCAUUGCAGAUCCAUCUUGGUACGACUUGAUGGAACAGUGGAAAAUCCGAUAGAGAUUGUUGAAGCUUUUUCUGCUUGGUUCAUGCAUGACGUGGUGGCCAUGGCAUCAUAUAUUUUGCUAAAGCUGUUUAGCUAGAUAUCCAUUCCGCCUUUGAAUGAUGUUUUUCUCUUUUGCUCUUUGUCUUCAUGUUUCCUUUUUUUCUUCUUCCUUUUGAUUUAGGGGUGCAUGUGAUUGAUCAAGGACAUGCCCAAAGGAAAGCAAAGCAAAGGGGGUGGUACAAGCCAAGUACUGGAAAUAAUUCAAGUUACUACUACCUCUCGCCAAUUUUUCGUUUUAGUGGACAAUGUCACUUCCAUUUUACCUUUCUGCAUAUGAUCAUGAUGAUCUUCUUGUCUGCCAAUUUGUGUGUGAGACACUGUAACCGUACGUGUCGGCUAGUGAAAGAUAACACAAACUAGCUACUAUAUAUAUCUCCUACAAGAUUUGGAAAAAUAUAGACAGGGAAUGGUGCUGGAUAUAUUGAUCGAUCUUUAUAGCCAUUUCCCCAUUAAGUUUGAUCCUACGCCAUAUCCUUAGUUUUCUUAGGGAAGUAUAUAUAUCUAAAGACGUUUCCAGUAUUAUAGCACAUUAGCCUUUUCUUUUAGCAUGGUCGAUCACAAGAGAGUGAGCUAAUCCGUUGAUCAAUUAUGUUAUACUUCAGAGCGCUUGGAGAACUUGUUUUUUCGAAUAGGUUUUUGUGCACUAAGAAAUAGCUCCUUCUGCCGAGUGCCGACCCUUUUGGGUGAGCUUAUUUUGUACUGCUCGCUCAAAUUAUCAAUAUAUUUUUGACCUGUUUAAAAAAAAUUUGCACAUAGUAAUUAGUUUAAUUGAUUGAAAAUAUUGUUAAGAAAUUAAAAGGAACAUAUUAUGAGUAAUAUAAAGUCAGUUUCAAAUAUUUGACAAAAAAUGCUUUUAAUAUUUUUUUUUUUUAAAAAAAAACAGACCUUGUUAAUGUUAGACAUUGCUUAGACUAACCGAUCGAAGAGGCUGAAAUCUACCUAAUACACAAAAAGGGUCUAGAUGGCCACCUAAAGAAUUUUACAUAAAAAAGGUCUAGGUGGCCGCGUAAAUUUUGUAGAAACGUACGUACAAGCGUUUUACAUGAAUUUGUAUGCAUGGAAGAGAAGCAGUUUCUGUUUGUUUAAUUCAUUUCAAGUCGAUCUGGAGAAUUUGAGGACGUUCCUGACUUGAGGUUUAGUUGGACAGAAUAUGAUAUUGCAUAGUUCAAUAUGAAACAAAACAAAAAUUAAUAUCCAAAUAUGAGCAGUCAAAUUUCUUGAUUUGUUGUUUGGUUUAUGGGUUACCUAUAAAAUUAUUCUUUCUAAUUGUGUUCUAUAAUGGGUUAGUUCUCAGACUUCUAUCAAAUGAAAGGAAAUUGAGGAUAAGAAAUCAUGCAUAUAUUAGUGUGCGUGAUGAAACGUCAAAAAUUCAAGAUUGAUGUACUGACGUUUAUGAUGAAGGGCUUUGCAUGCGUUCACUUACCUCAAGAAAAGACCCUUUAAAGUCUGAAAAGGAAAAAUGAGAGACAAAAAUCUGUACCCUAAUAUGUACAAUUUUCUUCGUGCAGCUGGACAAUUCAUUUGGAACAAUUAAACUGUAAACAUAUGUAAUAAUUGAACCAGCAGCUAGUACCUGAUCCAUAUUCUGUUCCCUGUAGAAUUGGAUUUAUCGAUUACAAGGUACUUAAUUAUUUUGUUUGCUUCUAGUCUUUUCAUUAUUAUUGACAUGAUAUAUGCUUUAAAUCCUUCAAAUAAUUGAGACACCGAUAAACAAAGUCAAUACUUUGACAUGACAAAAAACACGUUUGAUGUAAUGCCAACUCAAAACCCAUUGCUUGUUUAAUUAUUUGCUCCAGUAACUGAGAUUAUUCACACACCAUCGUUUUUGCAAAGGUCUUUCUGAUUCUCCUUAGUUUAUUUUUUAUUUUUCGAAUUAUAUUUCUUUUAAUUUAUUUUCUUUUGUCAAACAACUGACAGUCUUUUUGCAUUUUCAGAGAACAACUAUACGUCUUUUUGAUAUUUAAACCAGUAUUUUUCCGUUAUAGAUGUUCUGCAGAAAAUCCGAGGGUUGUUAUGAAUGUUAUGAUCUUGAGAGGGACAACAGGAUUAUAUAUUAUAUCAGCUGGCAUGGCUAGGUUUUGCAGGAACUUAAUCGGAGGGUUAAGAUGAUCUUGAGAGGGACAAUUCAGGAUUAGGGUUUUUGGAGCUUCGAAUCUUCUGGCUAGCUUCUGCAGCUUUUUGAAGAAUAUGCAAGUGCCACAUGUUUUUCCUGCGUUCAACAUUGUCUCACAAACCCUCAUCAUUUUGUUACUCGAUUACUUUUUCACCUAUAAUUCAUGAGCUGUAAGUUCUUGGCCUCAUGAACCCUAAAGCGUUAGGGUCCUGAGCUCCAUCAUUGCACGAAUAGGAAGCUGUGCUUUUUCACUUCCAGUUGCAGUGGCCGUAGCAGGGUUCAAAAGCCAAAAACCUUACCAUGUAAACCACGAGCUUUAACUUGAACAGUAAAACAGGCAUGCACAAUCUCCCAGAGCCCACUCCACACUCCUGGAGUGUCGGAGACUCCGACACGCCGACACGGUAAAAUACGUGUCCGACACGUCACGUGGAGUGUCCGAAAAAGUUGACUUUUCGGACACGUCUUGGACACGUUGACCGACCCCGACACGGCAUUGCGACACGCCAUGUCAGCAUUUCAGAUUUUUUUAUUUUAUUUUUUAAUUUUUUAUAAAAAAAAAUGUAAAAUUUCUAUUCAUUUUAGAGAAAUUUUAAAUACACACUCCUAAUAUCUUAAUACACACCCUUGCUUAAUACACCAUCUAUCAAGUUUUUUAUUUCAGUAUUAUACUUAAUACACAUCCUAAACUACCUAAAAUGUCCUUAAUUUAUGAAAUUAUUCUAUUAUUUAAUAUAAUUAAUAUAUGUACUAUUUGGUGCCUCUUUUUACAUAUUAUUUCGUCUAAUUUUUGCUAGAAAUUUUUGGCUAUCAUUGUUCAAUUUAUAAUCAAAUGAUUAUUGUUAUAUCCCAACUCUAAAUCACCAAUACAAGUUUUCAAAAUUCACAAGCUAGUAGAUCUGUAGAAGUACAGUAGCUACUAAACAUAGCUAUCUAGUUAUUUGAUAAAACAUGCCAUGAUAAAGAUGUAGUACAUGACAAUAUGAUAUGCAAGAUCAAAAUAAAGCUGAUACAGAUAAAAUAAAAUAUAUAUAUAUAUAUAUAUAAAAGACAACCCAAAUGAAUCGUGCAUAAGAGUUGGGGUUAGGAGAGAAAACGUGCUUUCGACAAUUUUAGGGUAAAAGAUUGAAAAGAAUACUUCUAGUGUGAAUUUUUUUUUUUUUUAAUAAUAGAUGUUUGUUUUGGUCAUUUAGCUUACCUAUAAAAUCUUAAUAGAAACAUAAAAUAAUAGAGGUGUGUAUUAAGAGAUUAGGGGUGCGUAUUUAAAAUUUCUCUUCAUUUUAUAUUAGAUCAAUUAUGGAAUAACAAGUUUGGAUGGAUUAUGGAUAUGAUAAUUAUAUUAGUUCAUCUUCUCGUCUAUUAGGUGUUACUGUACUAGAGAUUGCCUUGUUUGAAAACAAGUUACUGCUCAAGUUUGUUUUUCUUUAAUAUUAUAUUUUAGAUGUUAGAGGUCUGCUGUUUUUAAUGUUAUUAAUUAUGCACUUGACUUAUUUCUUAUGGUUAUGAAAUAGAUUGAAUUUAGAACUUUAUUUGAUAAUGUAAUGAAUUUAUUUCAUAUUUUUUAUUUUUUAUUUAUUAAAAAUACAUAAAUAUAUAAUUUUGUUGCCGUGUCCAAGCCGUGUCGGAAACUCAGUUUUUGAGUUUUGCCGUGUCGCCGUGUCGUGCCGUAUCGUGUCGCCGUGUCCGUGUCCGUGUCCGUGCAACUUAGCCCAGAGCCUUGCCUCUUUUUACCCAAAGAUUAAUAAUUACUGGACCCAAAAAAAAGUUGCGUGUGUUUAAGGAAUAGUUACUAACUUUGAAGCCCUAAACAGCCAAUUAGGUUGGAGUCAAGCCUCAAAGUACUUAAUACGAUCAUAUUGAAUAUUAUGCAUGGGUGGUUACCACAAAGUAGUGUGAAAUUAAGACAGCAGGAUCCUGGCUUAGCGAUACGUUAAUUAUUCCUCUCUUUUACAUAUGUGUUUGUGCUGUCAGUGACAAUUUUUUCCAUGUUACACCCAAAGGGCAACAUGAUAUUAGGGACCACAAUUUGGGUCUCUUAAAGUUAAUCCUGCCUUAAUUAAAAAGCUAUAAACCAAAAAUCCAGGUUCUCAUAUAUGUUAUCUUUGCUAGCUGUUUAAUUAGCUGGAGUACUGCUUGGCUACUUAAUUAUAUAUUAAAACGUCGAUAAUUAAACAAAGUGGCCGGUUUUCAUUAUCUGCCUAACUAGCCAUGCCAUUUACAAGAUCUUCAUGUGAAAGUAUAUAUCUGCCCCCGCAGAUCUCAUUAACAUGAUUCAACAAUGUGAACAUCAUUCAUUCUACGUAGUAUAUAUAUAGUUGUCCAUGCAGAUUUUUUAUAGACACUUCACUACGUACCUAAAUGAAUAUCUAUCUGUACAUAAAACAAUUAGAUAUGCUAUCAUUGAGAAAUUUUAACCAUGCAUGCAUGUACCUUGGUGCUAAAGUAAAGUUCCUUUUUCGAGUUGAAUAUAUGUGUUACCCCGAAUGCGGAUGAAUCAUCUGGGAGAGAAAGUCUUGGUUUGAUUAAUACCCAAAACACCUCUUGGUUUUCAUAAAUUAAUAUCAAAGUUGUUUGCGAUGACACUAAUAACAUUGCAUACAUACCUUAGAUUUUACUACCAUAUCUCUUUGGAUCCAACUCAUUUCAACAUUGAUAUACAUGUAAAACUAUCAGGGAUACAUUAACUAAAGAUUCAACAUGUAUAUGAGGCGGCAAACUCAAAAUCAGGACACAACCAUUUAAAAGUUAAAACUACAGAAUCCCUUGACAGCUUAGGUAACUUGUCCCAACAAUCCGCUGCAUACGAUAGAGAGCUCGGAUUGGUAUGAAGGUUAAUUAUUAUACUAUUUUGCCAAUCCCCGAUUGUUUUUGCACUGCAGAUCAUAGUUUAAUGGUCUCUUCGUCCCCCAUUUUUUCUUCUCGAGAUGUUAAAACAACAAAAAGAUCGAGAGGAACAAAAUGAAAUAUGAGCGAUAAUAUAAGGAAAGGGAGAAGUCAACGGUCAAAGAUCUGCAUUAGCGUCUAUGUCUCCCACACAGGCACCACGUACACUCCUCCGGCCGAUGAUAUGUAGAUUUGCAUUAACACACACAUUCUCUCUCUCUCUCUCUCACUGGAUCAUCGAUCAACAAAGUCCCCAAAAUCCCGAACACAAAACCCAAACACUCACACGAGAUCGCACGGAGCACUAUGCCCUCCCCACCUGGGAUCGGCCCUACCUGCCUCCUCGGUGCACCCGCCUCCACCCCCUCCCCUCCCACCACCACCCUCCAGCCAGUGGGCCCCCCGCUCUCCGGCCUCCUUCCUUCGCGUUUUCCCAGUGACCGUUUUUGCGUUCGAAGCAGAUUGUGCUGUCUUCCUGGCCGUUCGAUCACACUGCCGGUCGGGUCUUUUGGCGGGUCAAUGCGCCUCCGCGGGCGACACGUGAGGCUGGGUUUAUGGGCAAAAUGGCGGGCGAGACAAGGGACGCCUCAGGUGGGGCGAUGACACGUGGGUCAGCACGAGACAUUCCGGGCUAAUCGAUGAUGUUUUGCUCGCGUCAGCUUAAGUAGGGUUAUUUUCUUUUUCUUCCUCGUCGUCUCUAGGGUUUCGUUCUCUGGUUUUCCUUAGUUAAUUAGUUUUGUCAAAAUGAUCCCCCUAAGUAUAUAUUCAGAGAUAAUAUCAGUGUGUUUAUGCUGAACAAUGAACAUUAUAUAUGUAUAUAUAUAGCUACUCCUUGAUUAGUUUUUCUUUCGCGUUAAAGUUAUGAAAACAAAACUUGAUGAAAUACUUCAACUAAUUUUGUCGACAUUAAACAUAUGUCUAGAUGAUGCUCUUAAAUUAUGAUGCAAAAGCUUCUAGUUACUAUGACAAACAUAUGUUGACAUCAAACAUAUGUCUAGAUGAUGAUCUAUAUGUUACCAAAGUACCAACCAACGAGCUAGUAUGCCAAUUUUUAUUCUAAAGGAAAAAAAAGAUGGUGUAUGCCAAUCGAUUGUCGAUUUGAUUAGGUUAAUUCUCAUUUAUUUUGAGGAGUGAGGCUUAUGUGUGUAUCCCCUACUAAUUUUAGUAUUGCAACAAUGAACUUAGUGUCUACCAUGUAGUAGGCAUCGAACUGGAUAGUUAAUUACCCAACUUAUUAAAAAGGUCGACCAAAUGCCAACGUGAUCAGAACCAGAUAUGGAAGUGCCCAAACUAUGCUUCAUUCUUCUGGUCAUCAAAAAGUUUACAUUAAAAGAUACAAAGGAUUAACAACUCCAUAAAGAAAAACGGGUAAGGAUAAAGUCAAGACUAUAUACUUGAUGAGGAGGCCAAGCUGCAUCGUUUUCUCACUAUAUAUGUAGCAUUUGAAAGGUUAAGUUCGAUAAUGACGUGUGCUUUUAUCAUCUGCUUUUAGUAAAUAUAUAUAUAUCUAAUCACGUAUUAGCUAGUGUGAACGAGGUGGAUAAUCUGAUUAAUCUCCAAGCUAGGAAAUUAAAGGAAGUUUAAUUGCGGCUUUCUAUUGCAGUAUGCCGGAGUUUUCGUGCAUUGAUUGGGUCUAAACUCUAUUUGAAAGAAGUAAACAACAUUAAAUGGUGUAAACAGCUUUCAGUUAACUGUCUAUUUUUUCUCCGAUCCACUACUAAGUGUCUAAGUGUUAGGUUAACCAUUUUUUUAUUUUUUUUUUGAAAAUGGGAUGGGAAAACUCAGCCUAUUAAAAAGGCUCAGCUCUUUGCCCGUGACUAAGUGUCUAAGUGUUAGGUUAACUUUAAUUUGCUUGUAUUUGUAGUUUUAAUUUGAUCUCUAGACCCUCUUGAAGGAUGGAACAUUCUACAACGCAUAGGUUAAAGAGACGUUCAAGAAAUAAUUCCAAUAAAAAAGUGAUUUCACAUAUAUUCCAAUUAUAAAGCACCGUAUAUCAAAAUAACUUGUGAAGUUUACAUAUUCAAACACGUACUAGCUCUAUAUAUAUAUAUAUAUAUAUAUAUAUAUAUAUAUAUCGACAAACUAUAUGAUUCAUGAAAUAUACUAUCACACGUUGAACAUGAUUUAUAACUAAAUCAAUGUCAUCACCUAGAUAAUUGCACCUAAGCUUCCAAAAUUUACUUUCUAAUGUACUAGAAAUUUUUGUUUUCAUUUUAAAGAAAGACUAUAUUAACUAUGUUCUAUCUUUCUUUUUUUCUUUAUAAUGAACUCUGUAACGUUCUCUUCUUUUGCCGAUAAACAAAUGUCUAAAGUACAACCAUGCAUGUAGAAUAGCUAGUAAUGAGGUGAACGUUACUGGUAUUAUCAUUCAGGGAGUCAUUCUAAUAAGGACUUCUAUAAUGAGAACUAGUCGAUGACUUUUCGGUUCAUCCUACUUUUCGAUCUUAUAUCUACAUCUUAACCGUUCAGUUUAUAGGUAUUUAUGAGCAGAUUAUUUAUGCAAAAUUUCAGCCAUAUUGAAAAUUGUUAAGACAUUCAUAAGUGUGAUUUACCUAUUAUGAACUUGAAAUGUUCAUGUUUGACUGAUUUGGUUCGUCCAUUAAUUUGAUUUUGUUUGUUACCUUUACGAUCACCAAUUUGGCUGAAAUUUUGUAGAAAUGAUAUACUCAUAUAGACCAAAAAUUGAACGGAUGAAAUACCAAAAUUUGAUUGAAAAAUGGUUUUUUAAACCAUAAACCGAAAAGUCCUCAACUAGUUCUCAUUAUAUAGGUUCUCAUUAGAAGAGCUCCUUUAUCAUCCAUAUGUAGAAAAAGAUUGUUGAGGAAUAGAUCUUUUCCAUAUAAUACCAACAAAAAUUUACCGUAAUAAAAAAAUUUAAGGAGGUGCCGGCUUCUAAUAUUCGGUGUUUAGGGUUUAGGGUUUAGGUUUCUAAUAAUAUAAUUCGUCCUCAACUUAUUGUUGACCUUUGAGAAUAGUAAUAGCAUAAGGGGAGACCGAGGAGUAAGUGAAUAUGAUCGAUAAAUAGAGCUCUCAAUAACAAAUACACCUUAUCUAGGAAGAUACAAAUACAGUGCAUUUAGGCGACUAGUAUUAGUCAUGUAACAUCGAUCAUGUAACAUCGAUCAUCAUCAUCAUCAUAUCAAAAUGAAAAUAUUUCUAGUUAAGGCUUUGAUAGAAGACAUCGAUGAGAAGCAUACGACACAUUUUUAUGUGUCAGCAUACCAUGUCGUACGUUGUUUAUAAUCAUGUUCUAACCAUCUACAAUUGAAGUUAAUGAGGAUGUGAGCAUUCCUCCAACCAAUUAGCUCUGUUAACAAAAUUUAAGGCCAUCCUAGCUAUCUUCUUUCUUGAAGAUGGUGAGUGACCAAGCUGCAAAUGCUGUUUUACCAUAUGUGUAAGCAAAUUGCCGGAAUACUAGGCAAAGAAAGAACAAAAAUUGUUCAUGGCCCAUGAUAUAACUUAUCGGAAUAUUGAGAAAUCGCCUUUCAUGAAGUUUUUAAGUAUUGCUAACGUGAAAGGCAUAGUUAUCGAAGGUUUUAUAUUUGGCUUGCUUGCCGUAAAAUAGGUCAUUGUGAGUUGUGACUGUGACAUAGUCGUUCUGACCAUUGAAGUUCCGGCCGAUGAGAUAGUUGGACUGCAUGGAAACUCCAUGUUUUUAUGUGUCAAAUAAGCAUGUUCGGAAAAGAAAAACAAAAUGAUAAACCCAGGCUGCAUGUUGACGCUUCUGCCCUCCAGAAUACUAUGCUGUUUACUUUCUAAUCCCCAUUCCCCUCUCUCUGCUCCAUUCCUGGCUCUAUAUAUACUUCCCUCUGUCUUUCCUUUUCCCCCACACCAAAAACCAUCACUUCGGUUUUCAUUGCAGCCAUCUCCAUCACUCUCUCUUCUCCUCUGUCUCUCUCUCUCCCUCUCUCUAUAUCUCACAGACUAUCAAACCCAUCUCUUUCUCAUAUCGCUGUUUUCAAAACACCAACCAUGCCUGAAGCUCCCAAAAACUCUCUGAAAGAGAAGAACGAGAAGGCUCUCAAGUUCAUUGAGAGUGUCACAGAAAACGCUGAUGAGGUUCAGAAGCGUGUUCUUAGUGAAAUCCUAGCAGCAAAUGCUCAUGUUGAGUAUCUGCAGCGACACGGCCUCAAUGGUCACACUGACCGUGAGACUUUCAAGAAACUCAUGCCUGUGAUCACCUACGACCACAUCCAGCCGGACAUCAACCGUAUCGCAAAUGGCGAUACUUCCCAAAUCCUCUGCUCAAAACCCAUUUCGGAGUUCUUGACAAGGUUUGGAAUUAUACCUCGAAAUUCUGAGUUUUUUUUCGUCCUCUGUUUUUGGUAUCAUUUUGAUUUUCAUCUAAAUAUAUGGCCUUGUGUUUUUCCAUGUAGCUCUGGGACGUCUGGAGGUGAGAGGAAGUUGAUGCCAACAAUUGAAGAAGAGCUGGAGAGGAGGUCACUGCUUUAUAGCCUACUGAUGCCUGUGAUGAGCCAAUACGUGCCUGAACUAGAAACUGGGAAGGGAAUGUACUUUUUGUUCGUGAAAUCUGAGGCCAAAACUCCUGGGGGCCUUGUGGCUCGUCCAGUCCUCACUAGCUAUUACAAAAGCUCUCAUUUCAAGCAAAGGCCUUAUGACCCUUACACAAACUACACCAGCCCAAAUGAGACCAUUCUCUGCCCUGACUCCUACCAAAGCAUGUACUCCCAAUUGCUCUGUGGCCUUUGCCAGAACAAAGAAGUCCUCCGAGUAGGCGCUGUUUUCGCCUCCGGAUUUAUCCGAGCCAUUCGCUUUCUCGAGAAGCAUUGGUCUAUUCUAUGCAAGGACAUAGAAUCCGGGACUCUUAACUCCCAAAUCACCGACCCCUCUGUCCGGGAUUCAGUCUCGAAGAUCCUCAAACCGGACCCGAAGCUAGCCGGUUUCAUUGCCACUGAGUGUGGGAAGAAAUCAUGGCAAGGGAUCAUAACAAGGCUGUGGCCUAACACAAAGUAUGUGGAUGUCAUAGUGACUGGCACUAUGUCACAGUACAUUCCUACUUUGGAUUACUACAGCAAUGGGCUUCCUCUGGUUUGCACCAUGUAUGCUUCCUCUGAGUGCUAUUUUGGUGUCAAUCUCAACCCAAUGUGCAAACCCAGUGAGGUUUCUUACACCCUCAUUCCCACUAUGUGCUACUUCGAGUUCCUCCCUGUUAACAGAAACAAUGGGGUCAACUCCGAUUCGGUCUCUGUACCCGAAUCGCUUACUGAGAAGGAGCAGCUACAGCUGGUGGAUCUUGUUGAUGUGAAGCUAGGACAAGAAUAUGAGCUUGUGGUCACAACCUAUGCUGGUAAUUUACUUCUCUUGGAAUUUUCAUUAAACAGUUUAAUUUGUAAUAUUUGUGACUUGGGUUGGUGGUUAAAAUGGAUUUGGUGCUAUUUAUGUUACAGGGCUUUACCGCUACAGAGUUGGUGAUUUGCUAAGAGUGGCCGGGUUCAAGAACAAGGCUCCACAAUUCAACUUCAUCUGCAGGAAAAACGUGGUCCUUAGCAUUGAUUCAGACAAGACUGAUGAGGUUGAGCUCCAAAAUGCUGUGAAGAAUGCUGUGACUCAUUUGGUGCCAUUUGAUGCAAAUGUGGGAGAGUACACUAGCUAUGCUGACACUUCAAAAAUUCCAGGCCACUAUGUCCUCUUUUGGGAGCUUAGCCUAAAUGGCACAACUCCGAUCCCACCCUCAGUGUUUGAGGACUGCUGCUUGGCCAUUGAGGAGUCACUCAACAGUGUGUACCGCCAAGGCCGAGCCUCCGACAAGUCGAUCGGACCUCUUGAGAUCAAGAUUGUAGAGGCUGGGACUUUUGACAAGCUGAUGGACUAUGCCAUAAGCUUGGGAGCUUCCAUUAACCAAUACAAGACCCCAAGGUGUGUGAAGUUUGCACCCAUUGUUGAGCUCUUGAACUCUAGGGUGGCCUCAACCUACUUCAGUCCCAAGUGCCCCAAAUGGGUCCCCGGUCACAAGCAAUGGUGCAAAAACCAUGAUUGAAAUGCAAGAGGAGAGGGAAAAUGGUUCAAAGGAAGAAGAAGAAGAAGAAGAAUGACUGCAGUUUGGACUCGUAAUUGAUCACUUUUAGGGAAGAGUAACAAGUACCCAUUUUAGGUUAACCUUAUGUUUUAUGUUCAUCCACCACCACCUCUUUUUAUUUUUAACUAUGUCCGAGUAGACUUUUAAAUUAGCACCACCAUGUAUAAAAUCUAGUUCAUGUUUCAUGGAAGGAAGCUCCAUUUCGUUUUCCUAUUUGUUUAAAACUAGCUGUUGUUUCUUCAUGGGAUGUUGAUUCUUAUUUCCAGCCAGGUUUCCUGGCCACUGAAGUCUCAUGGGCCUCAUAUACUACUGUGAAUAACGGCACUUAAUUAUAAGAGCGAUAGUAAUCUCAGAAAGCCAACCUCUUAUGAUGUAGUACUCCUCCCUUGAUCGUUUUCUUUUUUUUUGGUCAAUUCCUUUGAUCGUUUUCGUUCCAUCACUUUCUCAAGUCUAAGAGAGUAUAUAAUUUAAUCACUUUACCAUAAGAUUAAAAAUUCUCCUCUCUUCCAAUGCCUUAAUCAUAAGAAAGUCUAAAAUGAGACAUUACUCUGUCACACAUGUCGUGAUACGUCAGUUCAAACGUAUUUAUUUUUUUACUACCGUCAUCGUCUUUCCGAACUUUUCAUGUUUGUUUUUCAUACACUAACAAUUUUGAUCUGUUUGUCUAAGUAAUCAAAUAACACGGCUACAAAAACUAAGUACUCAAAUGCCUUGUGUAAAAAUUUAAUUUUCUAAAUUAGGCACAUUGUUGAUAAACCCUCACAGUCACCUAUAAUUUUGGAUUUUUGUAGUAGAGUUUAAACCAUUUAUAUCACAGAAAUUGCAUGGCAUACUUGUGGCAACACACAAUUAUUAGAACAAAUUUUAUAAGGCCACACAUGAGUCAUAUAUUCGGGAUUGGUUUUAAAGAAAAAGACAUCAAAUGUGACUGUGUCCAAGAUUUGUUAAGUGUGUAUGAUUUUGUUACAGAAAUCUCUGGUGUUGGUUGGAGAUUGAUAUUAUCCAUGAGGGGAGUCAAUCAAAAAGACAACAACUGCUGCAUUUGCUGGUACUGCUAGCUCAGAAAAAUUGGUCCCUGCUCCUUUUGCUUGCUGUUGUUGUUGUCUUCGAACAAAAACAAAAGCUGUUUUGAUUUAGGCAGAUUUUACCGAGUCAGCUCUGGUACUACUCAGACAGACCUGUAGUCAAAGUAAUGAAAGCUCCCUGAAGACAAACCCAGAAAAGAAGAGGUGGAGACAGAUUCAGAGAGACAUGAUUUCAGGGUACGGUGGAGGUGGAGGAGAUAAGGGUGGUGCAGGGCUUUUGGCUUUUCUUUUGCUUUGUUUUUAUGACCACCAGAUUAAAGUGACCACCACUGUCGAGUCCAAUGCUACACACUGUAGCCUAGUUAACUAAGUCAAGGUUGGAGAUGAGUACCUGGGUAAAAGUUAAACAAAAUGAGUUCAGAUCCUUCUCCCAAGUUAAAUUUCACGCAUGCUUUUGGGGAUUGUUUAUUGAGGAAACUUUUGUUACUGCUUCAUGAAAAGAUUAGUAAUAAUCAUAAAAUUAUAAGUUUGUCGCUCUUUUUUGUAAUAGAAUGUCGUUACAAACGUGUAUGUGUUAGAUAAAUUUUCGUAAAUUAUUAACCGAGUAAUAAUCAAGUUAAUUAGUGUUCAAACCACAUAUCAGAGAAAAACUUGUGAACAUAUCAAUAAUUCUUUUGCAAAUCCAUUUAAGAAAAUUGUGUCAUAUGAUUACUCUUUGAUAAAAUUUUAGCGCACCUUUUGUCAUGUAAAUCAAGAAUCAUUUGUUUCAUGUUCGGUUAAAUUACCGCAGGGUUGGUUUGACCAAGAUAAAGUACCGUAGGGUGGUAAAAUUGACAUAUUCUUCCCAGAUGGUAAAAAUGAGAGACCGACGAGCAUAGAAUACUUGUUCGUCCUUCAAGAGGAAGAGAGGACCAUCUGGAUAAUAUGAACACGUGGCAGUGAAGCAACGUUGACUUGAAUUUCUGGUAAAACUUUUCUGUUGCGGGGAUAUGAGACCCAUCUUGGUUGGGCCAAUGAGAGCCCAGCAACGCCACGUGAGAUGUCGUUUUGAGUUUCGCUUUGUUUGGCACUUCGGUUUGAUCCCUACUAAUAGAAAAAAGAAAAGAAAAUAAAAAAGAAAAAAAGAAAAAAAAGAAAUCUGGAAGUUUUAGGUCUUUUUCGGAAUUGAGAUGGACAAAGACUAAUUUCAAAAGUUUCAGCCCUUUACAAAACCAGCUGGUGAAAGUUCAGUCUAGCUGAAUUAAAUUAGAAAUCAAAGAGGUUUAAGAUAAAGUUUUCCUAAAAAUUACGUGCUGUUGGGUAGAAAUUGAACGAGGAUCUAAGAGCUUGCCGUUGUUGGGCUUGGUGAUCCGAUCUUCCCUUUUAGGGUUACGAGACUAGGCCCAAAGUCUUCCUAAGAUAGACUUUGUUGUGAUGGAGAGGCUCCAAGCGUGUGUAAUAUCAAUACUGAGAGGACUUAGUAGUGUGCAUGGUGUGGAAGCUAGGAUCAUGCAAGUGUAACAUAAUGCAUGCUCAUCAAAUGUGGGUGAGGGAUUGUAAAAUAUGGUGGUGGUGGUUAGAGGUGUCUGAAGGUGUUUAGGAGAAUGGGUAUGGUGGUGAUGAUCUAGGGUGUCUGGAAGGAUAGGUAUGAUGAUGGUGGUCUAGAGACGGUUAAGCAUGAGGAGCUUGGUAAUGGUUUUUGCCUGUGUGUGUUGUGUCUCAAUCCCACUGUAGCUUCCUUUAAAUAAAAUGGAGGUCGAAGACUGAGGGUAAAAAAAUGACCCGUGACUCUCUAAUUUUAGCAAGAGUCAGAACCCCCUUUCUCACUGCCAUCGUUCGAGCCUUAAGCAAAAAAAACGUAAGGGUGGCAGUGGUUCUAAGGCAUCCCUCCUCAAUUUCUUGCCAAGCUAUUUUUGGUUAACGGGUUCAAACAAGACAUGGCCUUGGGUUUACCUUAAGCUUAUAAGGUGAAAGUUGUGGAGACAGGUCUGAAGUGACUUGGUCUGAGGUGAUGUGUGAUGAUGUGUGAUGUUAGCAUCCUAUGUCUAAAGGCAUUGGGUGAUGAGAUGAGGUAUCCGUUACAUGCCUAUGCGCGGGAAGCUCAAUUUCAAGUUUGAUCCUCGACUCCCAAGACGUCUCGGACACUUGACAUUUGGUCUCCAUAGGCUUGGCAAAAAUCUUGUGUCCUUCCACACCACAACCCACUAAAUAAGCCCCAUUGGCCUAGUGUGUCUUGGGUCCACAUUAUUGGCUGGCCACGUGGCAUGUCGUGAUGGAUGGUUUUCGGUGUAUACCAUCAACGAUGACGAUGCUUGUGCGCAACUGUGUUCGGCGUGUGUUGACACAUGUGCUGACACACGCAUGAAAUGGGCGAGCAUGUGGUGGUCAUUGAAGCGUGUCAUGAGAAACCACGUGCCGUAAAGGGAGUAGGCUUAGGCAUGAACUCGCAUGGCAUGGCCUGGCUUAACUCUUAAAUGGGCCUUGAGUAGAUUUAGGCACGUCAUGGCGUGGCUCGCCUCCCACGUCCUAGAUAGAUAAAAGGAGUAGGCUUGGGCAUAAAUGUCAUGGCGUGGGCUUGUCUCCCUCGUCCUAGAUAGGCUUGGGCAUAAACGAGCAUGUCAUAGUAGGCUUGGGCAUAAACCCGCAUGUCAUACUUGGCUUGACUCCUCGCUUGGCAUGGCUUUCGUGACCUCCUCCUAUAAUUUGGAUAUGUCAUGCCGUGGCUUGGAGAUUUUGUACUAAGCCCCAAGUCGCUCGAGGCAGAGGCAAACCAAACGACUCGGACCCAGGUCUCAUAUCAGCUCUAAGCCUAGGCCUCAUAUCAGCUCUAAGCCUAGGCCUCAUAUCAGCUCUAAGCCUGAUCAUUGACCUUAAGUCUCUAAAAAAAACAGGUUUACAUUUUUGGGUAUCAACACAUGCCAAUUAGAUAACUUGAAGGAGAGAAGAAUUAGAGCCGACACACCAACAUAAAUAUCACACUAUUUGUUUAUUUAAAUAAUUUUUUUUGGAUAAUGACUUAAAUAAAAGUUAAUUGUAACAAAAUGGUAAGUGCAACAAUGGUUGAGAUUGAAUAAUAAAUGUUGGGUCACUUGCAUCUUUGACAUAGUAAAGAAUUAUAAAACAGUGAUUUUAAUGUUGGACAAAUAUAAGGAAAAUGCUAAUUGAGACACUAAAAAUUUGAACCAAAUAUUAAUACCAAAUAAUGUGGCAUUUGCCAUGUCAUCAAUCUUCCUAUUAAGAAAGUGAUGAUAUGGAAUCAUACAAUUUUUUAUAUCUAAUGAAAAAGAAAUAAAAAGAUAAAAAUAUAUAAACUCAAAUUCUUCUUCAUUAGAAAAAAAGGGUGGUGCUAUUAAUACAUCGUUUUUUGCUAUUAACACACCACUUAUAUGGUGAGAACCAAUCAUCAAUCAAAUUCAAGUGACAAGUUUUUAAAUAAAAUAAAAAUGUGUGGAUAGGAAAAUAUAUAAGAUGUGUUAAUAACCAAAAUGAGUGUAUUAAUAACAAUUGCCAAAAAAAUUAUCUCUCCCUUAUGUUCUUCAGCAUCUCUCCAAUUUCUUAGGUGUUUCACUGUUUCUUAUUGGAGCCAUUAAAAGCCAUCUAUUUAUUAGAAGCUCUUUUCUCUUUCACAUGCCGGCCAUACUCCCCUCUCUUCUCAAAUUAUUAUUCUACCAUAUGAAUGGAAAUAUUGAAUUGAAGAAUCAAUAUAUAAGAUUCUCAAUGUGCUAUACUUAUUCUGCAAUAUAUAAGAAUCAAUAUAUAAGGAAAUUACGUACGUCCAUAAAACACGCAUUUAACAAAAUAUACUACAGCACACUCUAGCUAGCUGCACUUACCAUUUUAAAUAACAACACAGUACUCAUCAUCACGUACAUGAAUAAUAUUGUAUCAACAGGGACGGAACUAGGAAUUAAGACUAAGGUGGACUAAAUUUAGCUUAUAUUGACAAGGAAAAUUAUUCCUAAAAAUUUGAAAGAGAGUCUACUUUGUUUUAAACUUUCGAUGAAUUAUCUUAAUUGCGCAACAAAGGCAAGCUUACGCAACACUCGCUAAAAUAUCAUCUAAUAGAUAAGGGAGAAAAACCUCCACUCUCCCAUUACACGAUCCACACUCCUUUUCUGUUUCAUUUCAACUAGUCUAGCUCUUACUCGUGCAUCUACACGUGGAUUAAAAAAAAACAAUAAUUUGACACUUUAUACCCUCACUUAUAUAUGUUCAAAUCUAUAACCAAAUUGAUUCUCUUGCAUGUGUUUUCCCCUCCUUCAAGUGCAAAUUUGCACUACUAAUAAUUGAAAAGAGUUUCAAAUUUGAAAAAAAAAAUAUUAAGAAGUUAUAGAACAAUUUUAUUUGAACUGCUCCACCAAAAGAAGUGGGAUUUUUUUUUUUUUUUUUGUUAGAAACCAAAAGAAAGUGGGAGUGAAAGUAAUAAAACUAGCUAUCACCACGUUCCUAAUUUAAGUCUCCAGCCAAUAAAGGUAGAUUUUGUUUUUGGUUUAUUCUUUUUUUGUUUUUACCGUUAAUACCCUUACAACAAAUUUUGUUUAAUUAUGAACUGUUUUUUAGUAUAACAAAUAGGGUUAUUUAGGGUACCCGUUUUCGUACAUCAAAAAAAUAAAGCCUGGCUUCUAAUAUAGUAGAGAUUACAUGGUUCACUUUCUACACUUGCGUCUGAUGAAAUACUGUUUGAUCUUUUUUUUUUUUUUUUUUUCUUUUUCCUUUUUUUUGUUAACUCCAGCAAUUCUCAAUUUCUACCUCGACGGCUUCCUAAUUUUUCUACACGAAUCAAUUGCUCCCUUCAAUCAAAUAAAGUGAAGAGCAAUCUGCAUUCUGCAAUCAUCUCUUUAUGCAAGAGAUUGUAAUUAACCCAAUAGUGACAUUAGUACCCAGCACACUUCCAUCCAAAAGCACGGGAUUGAAUCUUGAUCUGGUUUUUGGUUUGGAUUUCUCUCAUUGCUCAAUCAAUAAUCACACAAAAAUUAACAAUUCCUCAGAGUUGCCCUGAUUCCAAGAACCUAUUAGAUAAAACCCCAUAUAAAAUUGCACACCGGCAUUGUGAAAUCAAUUUCUUCAGGAAGUGAAGAUUGAGGAUGAGUAGAAUUGACAGUUUAGAAUAUGAGAAGAUCUAAGAGCAUAAAUGCGAGGUGAAGAGGCUGAAUAGUAGAGGACUCAGAUCGUCCUCUUCUUCAUUAAUCAAACAUAGAGAUAGACAUAUAGGAACUUAGCACAUAUAUAUCAAGGAUUUUCCCCCCAAAUCUUGAGGUGGGCUGCAGCACACAUCAGCCCACCCCUGGUUCCGUUCCUGUGUAUCAAUCUCUAGCUCUCUAUCUUCUUCCUUUAGCUCAGCAAGUCAAAAAUGGAGUGAACUGAACUAGGGUUUUCACUUUUCAGAGUUGAGAAGAAAGAACUCAAAGGGAGUCGGCCCCUACCGAAACGACAAACAGGUGUGUAGGCGUGUAGCAACAAAACACCACACAACACCAGAUUAUUAGAAUAUAAAUGAUUGGGAGGAGCUAGCAGGUUGAAGUAAGCUUAACACUGAGCUCUGCCCCGACCGGGUGGUCGUCCAAAUAUAUAUCCGGUCCCCAUGGCCCAGAAUACACGUGAAAUGUCACUUGUUCUCAGACGAAGGCGACGGUCGAACUUACCGGGGCGGUCGUGGAGAGCGGAGAGCUACUCGAUCACUUCCCCCACACGGCCACACCCAUGCACUGUCACUUCACUUCACACGUGGGUUGUUGCCCUGUGGCCCCUCCACCCGCACGUGAGGGGUUAUUCGAUUUGUUUUCCUGCCGGGCUCACUUGAUGGGCCAUCCUCGCUCUGUUUGGGCCCAUGGAUCGCCAUCCACAGAGUUGAAGACUGUCGAGUGUCGACUGUUGACCUUUUUUAGAAUUUCCAGAAUAUGUGAUAUUGUGAAUAGUGGGUUAUAGCUAGUGUUUUGUUUAAUCGUGUUUAUUAUAUUCUCAGUUGCAAAUAAUUGGUCUGUAAUCAGUAGCUGGAAUCCAAUUAUGUGUAAGAAAAUGAGGCUCCUCCUAUAUUAUGGCUAAAAAAGAAGAGCUAGAAGAAAAAUGGUAGAUAAUUAGACAUUUAAGGUAAAUACUUAUUAGAGAUCGAAAAAUAUUGAGCUGAGAAGGUGUAAGCACUUUAAUUCUCGAAAAAAUUUAAUAAUUUAUCAAUGUGCACAAAAUUUGUGAAAUUUAUGUUAAUCAACAACACACGAGUUAUAUGCGCACGUAUGAACAAUCUUGUGAUGUUUGCAUUUUUUCUUUUUAACAUAAUGAACCUACGAACAAAAAUAAUGCAAUUGAUCAAGUCAAUUCAGUUCGCGCGGCCUUCUUAGCAUUAUUGUAUCUAUGCCCUUCUCAAAGUUUUGGACUAUAAUGCAAGGCUAGCUAAUUCCUUUCAUUUUCAAACUAAGAACGAACUAAAGCAGUCUCAGUUAAUCAUGUACCUGCAAUUAAUUAAAUUACUCGCAACGUUUCUCAUGAUGUAGUCAAAUACUGCGUAGUUUCAUUGCAUUAUCCACCAGUGUUCUAAUUUAAAUUAGUUUUUUGAGAAAUGAAUUCAACUGAGUGGUUGGGACUUGGGACUUGGGAGUUAUCCCCUCAUAGCUAGCUAGCUAACACCCAGAAUUGUUGAAUUCAGCUUCAGAGUCCCCUUCUGCUUACAUAUGCAUGCUUAGUACCCGUCUAGCAAGUUAGAUAGGUCAACACCUUUCAAAAUAUAGAAUUUGAUCUGGUCAAAACUAAACGGGUGCUACAAGUUGGAAUAGAUAAGGAAAACUAUAUAUGGCUCGUAGAGCUAGCUUAAUUAUAUAUGUAACAGAAACCCCUUGGUCGACCGCUAUGACAAAACUGGAUAAAGAACCACCUGAUUGAAUAUAUAAGAGCCUUCAGUCACUACUGUCAGUGUUGUGGUUUGAACUUGGAACAUAGAAGAACAGGUUCACUAAACAACUAAAAACAUUUGGUUUGAAUGAUGAUAUUAAUUUCAUCACUGAUAUAACAACGUAUUUCAAUUAAUAUAACUGAGACAUUCUGCAAAACAUAAGGGGAAGAUUAACAAAUCAAGAACAUAAAUAAACACAUUAGACUCGUGAAUCAUACCCCCUAUGAAUAUUUGUGGGAUAGUUUUGUUUGUUUAAUUCUGCAAAGUUCAACCGCUCUAACUAAUAACAUAAUUAAACAUACUGCAUCUUUCAUGAUAACCUGUAAUGUUCUUAAUCAACUUCUUUUUGGGGUAGUAGACCAAAUUAUUCUUUGGUUUAAGAGUUAGAGCUUAGAUCGUAUAUAUGUACGAUCAUGUCAACAACCAUCAAAACUAGGCUGAUGGUUUUGUUGUUCACUUGUUUGUUAAUGUCAGGUUGUGUUCGGAUCGGAAUCGUCGGAUUACAUGUCAAUGUCUUCCGGGCAUAUCACACACUGCUACAAAAACAACUACGUCUUCAAAGUCGGAAUCCUUGCGAAAAUAUGUGAACAGAUAAUUAAACAGGUAAUCAAGUCAAGUUAUAGAUAGAAAAUAUUAAUAGGUUGCAGAUAAGAGACGCGCGUACAGUUGAAGGUACAUGUAGAAAAUGGAAACUGAUCGAUGAUCGAAGUACUGAAGUUGAUAUAUACCAAAACCAAUUCAGCUCAGUACUGCGCGGUUAGCCUUUUGAUUAUAUAUAUAAUAUCGAUUUCAAUGUCGAUGACCAUUUUGGCUGCCCAGGUAGCUAGAAAUUAAGAAAAUGCAGAAACUACAUAACUUGGACUCUUGGAGGUUGGUUCCUACCAUCAAACUAAACUAAGUACACUCAUCGCCAUGUGAACAAAUAAAGAUUGCAGAUAAGAAAUGGUUGCGCAAGCUAGACGAUGGUGACUGAUGAUCCAAGAACUGAAGUUGAAAUUUAAUUACCAUAACCAUUUCAGCUAAGUACUGCGGGUGAUGAUGAAAUUUAAUAUUGCUAAAUAUCGCUUAAUAUCUUCCAACUUUUUCAUUGCAAUAUUUUGGCCAUCUAGGUAGCUAUAACAACUGCACUACUUAUCUCAUAGGCAAACAAUUGUUGGGUUAUGCGGAAGACUAAACUGUAGAAUAGAAUCAGAAACUUACAACCACAAAUGUAAAAUGUAGCAUAAAUAAAAUGAUAAAAAACACUGGGAAUUAACGUGGUUCGGCAAAGUGCAUAUGUCCUCAGGGCAACAACAAUAAAAAACCACCACUAUACAAAUAAAUGUUACAGUGAGAUAAACACUACUUCAAAACUCACACUUUAAGGGAUACACUCUCACUCUCACUCUCACUCUCACACUCACUUUGUUUUGCUACACACACAAAUUCUCGACUUGGAGUUUUCUCUCUAUCUCAUACUCUUGUAUAAUGCAAGAUGAACUCACCGGUACAUCAAUUGUACCAUUACUCAUGCCUUUAUAUAUGCAAACUUCUUCAUGCAUUUCCCAUGCAAAUCCUUCAAUGCACGAGGAAGAGAAUUCAAACUUCUUCCUUAAUUCAAGCUUCAAUGUUUGUAUGCACCAUCAAUGCAUCUCUAUUCUUUUUGUCAAACAUUUCAGGCACCCAUAAGCCUAUACGAAUAAGCUCUCUUGCAUUUCAACAUAUACACACCACCAACUUUGCUAUUCAUAUAGCAUUUUGUCUCUUGGUUAAUCGAAUGGGUCUUGAGGCUUCACCGAAAUGUUUUUCAUAUGUAGUAAACUAUAUGACAUCCUCCUCCAAAUAAGGAGGGAAAUUUGACCCAUCAACAAUUUCCUCUUCAAUGAUAAAUUAUAUCAUAAACGUGAUUCAGGUUUUGCAGAAAUUAAUCGAUAACAUGCAGAGGCUUAGAUCAGUUGAUUAGUUAUAUGUGCAAAUUAAAAGAAGACACGCACACUUGGUUUCAGGCCACCGGCUGGUAGCUCAUCAUCAGAGCAAGAUAGCUAGGUUUCAACUUCCAUUGCGAGCUGCUGUAUUUCAUUUUAUAAAUGAAGAACGAUGAUUAAUCUCUAGUAUUAAAUGGGGAUGAUUCUGAUGUUUGAAUAAAUAAAUUCAAGUCUGUGUCCAGUUUCUGUUAGUGAAUUUUGUCAUUUUCUGAUAUAUCAUGGAAUUUGGUAAUUAUUAUACUUGCUUCAAUUAUUAUGAACAAUAUCGGUAAAACUUCCAAGUAUUAAAAUUGACUUUAUAUAUCUAUCUAAGUUGAACUACUGUUGAAGUUAGUUCAUGACUCGAUCGUUAAUUUGAUUCAUGCAUUCCUAUUAUCCUAUAGCUAGAGAUUAUUUCAAUUCAGAAGUAAGUCAUCUCUCUACUGACUUAGGAAAUUAGAAAAACUUGUCUUUGUGCAUAUCCAUGUUCAUUGCAGGAGCGUCUACACAUACAUAACAUUUACUAUGAUCACAUUUCAAUACGUAGUUAAGAUUCGUCUUUGCUCACAUAAAAUGAUAAGAUCGAUAACAUAUGGCUUCUCGUACCAAAUAACUGUUUGCAUAUCACUGUAACAAGACACAAAUACUUGGUGGAUUGUAACAUUCAAUGUGCCGAUGCAUCCUCCAGACGAGCACAAGAGACUUGCCAUCCCUAGUUCCCAACCGCAAUAUAACACAAAACCUUAUCAAACACCUAGAGGCUAGAAUCUAUAACUAUACAUCUCAUGUUUUAAUGUUUUAUGGAGAAGCUACCAAGUUGUAACAACAGACCCAAGCCCACAACAUGCAGGCCCAACUACAGAAGGCCCAACACCAUGUGAAGCCCAAACUGAAAACAUAAGAACCUGAAAAUAUCCGUCAAAACUCAAUUCUCCUUAUCUCCCAAACGCACUCUCUCACUCUCUCUGAAAAAAUGGCAAUGGCGCCGAGCCUCUCUCUCACACCCAAAACCCUAAUACCAACCACCCCACGGCUCUCCCUCUUCGCCCCUCACAUCCAGCCCUCCAUCUCCUCCCUCGGAUUCACCUCCGCCGCCGCGGCUCGCCGUCUGACACGCUCGGUGGUGCCGUCCAAGCUCAGCGUCCGAGCUGUGAGCGACAGCGAGUACUCGUCGAGGAGGAGCAGCAGUAAUGAGCAGAGGGAGACGAUAAUGUUACCGGGCUGUGACUAUAACCACUGGCUUAUAGUCAUGGAGUUCCCCAAAGACCCUGCCCCUACUAGAGACCAAAUGAUUGAGACCUACCUCAACACCCUCGCUACUGUUCUUGGAAGGUACCCAUUUCCAUGUUUGUUUCAAUGGAAAAAUGAUUAUGUUAUUGCUAUGAAGAAAUUGGCCGUCUUUGUUUCGAAGUUUUAUAGGAGAAUAUAUCAAUGUUGAGAAAAAAGUAGAAUGUUUUUGGGGUGUGGUGUGAAUAAUUCUUUAGUAAUUUUGUAAGGAAAGGAAAUGUUUGUGCAGCUAACUGGAAGGUUAAAUAGUUUUUGCGUAGAGUAGGAAAUAUGAUUGGAGAAUAUGAAUGUAUUUCACGUGUCUAAAUCUUUUAGAGAACGAAAAGAAUGAUGUAGUGAAGUUUGAACUUAUUUAGGUUUGAUGAGUUAUUAGCAAGUGAGCAAGUACAACGGGAUAGUGUGAAAUGGUGAACUAUCUUCUUGUUUGAGUGUGUUGCAAAUGCUUUUGUUGUGGCAGAGUUGUAACUAACAAAAUCAUGAUGGUUUCAAUCUGGGCAUGAUACUUUGAUUGAUCAGUUGUUGUGGAAGGAUAUGGAAUCGUAUUGAACUUGUUUUAACUGAUAAUCUAGAAAGACCAGAAUUGUAUGCUUAGAGGAGUUAACUUAAGAUUGAUUGACCUCAAUCUGAACAUAUUUGGGUUUCUUUACUUAGCUAGGUUGAAUAGUUAUUGAGAGGCACUUUGUUAUUAAUCUCUUACUGUAACUAUUACAGUAUGGAAGAAGCAAAGAAGAAUAUGUAUGCUUUUAGCACCACCACCUACACUGGAUUCCAAUGUACUGUAUUGGAAGAAACAUCUGAAAAAUUUAAAGGUUUGUAUUGCAUUUUUGUUCAUAUUUGCUUGUUUUCUCAUAUAACAUUAGCUUUCUUCUGCUAACCUGGUUCAACCUGAUGCAGGGUUGCCUGGUGUUCUCUGGGUGUUGCCAGAUUCGUAUAUAGAUGUUAAAAAUAAGGAUUAUGGAGGUUGGUUAUAUCACAAUUUAAUGGUUUGUUUUAGCUUUCAAGUGCUGUUAUAAUAAAUUCAAUUUGGGUUCAUAUGUAGGUGAUAAGUAUGUUAAUGGAGAGAUAAUUCCCGGUAACUACCCUGUUUACCAACCGAAGAAACGAAGAGAAUCAAAGUUUGAGAGCAGAAGAUAUGAAAGACGAAGAGAUGGGCCUCCUCCAGAACGAACACGGCCAAAACAAGAAGCAACUCCAUCAGAAUCUGCAUCUGGUUGAGGUAGUCAGUACCACCAUAUAGGAAGUUUUUCUAUAUUUUUCUAGGAGUUGCUUUAAAAUAUAUUUGUCUGUAUUUCUGCAGUUGUUUAAUUUGGAAGUCCAAUCCGUGAAACUACUAGUUUAUCCAGUUGUCGAACUCAUCCAGGGGUACUCACAGUUGUGCUUAACUUUUUGGUGGAAGUGUUUUUUUUUUGCCUAGCCUGGAUGACAAUGGUGUCCUAUUGGCUUGUAAUUGAGACUAUUAUCUGUGAAAUAUUGAUCUUAGAUUACCUUUGUGAUAGUGUUUUUUGUCAAGACUAUUGAAGCUCAGCUAUAUAUAGUUGAUAUGGAUCCGACUUAGUUGUAUUCAUGUUUGGUUUUGUUCUUUUCUUUUGCACUAUUCUGUCCCUUCAUACUUGUUAGCAUCCAUGUGUAAGUGCGCUAGUCUUGCAUUAUCUUCUCUAAUUUCUUUGAAUUAGUUAUUCUCGAUACAUAUUAAGAUGAGAUUGACUGGCUUAUGCUGAACUCAAAGAUUGUGUUUCCUUUCCUGUCUCAUCUUUGUGGAGUUCUUCUGCAUGACCGUUGUGCUGUGCCGGGAAGCUCUGGCCAUAUAGUCCUAUAGCAUGGUUCUUGAGCUUGAUAGCAAAACUGCAUCACUAUCCUCAAGUAUAUGGGGGUUCCCUGGGGUUGGUAUUUUUUUUUUUUUGGUCAACCUGGGGUUGGCAUUUAGAGAUGCUCUUUUAAAUGCUCGGGGCAUUUCCCAAAAGUGCUAUAUAUCAUGUGGCAAAAGCUACAAAACGCCGUUGUAUGCGUACGCCAACACUUCCGUUUAAACAGAGGGGCAAACGAUGUAAUUUCUGUUGACCUGGUAAAAACAGUUUUCACCAAGCCCACUGAAGAAACAAUGUGUGACUUCCGAUCCUUGUUAAUGUCAUCAAGGUGUAUCAAAAUCGAAAACAUCCUGCCAUUUUUCAGUUGAGAUAUGGUCCAGCAGAUCCAAGCUUCGUGAUUGUCAACAGAUUUCCAUCUGAUUCAGUCAUCCAACUAGCUAUAUAUAAGUUUCAAAUCCCAGAUGCAUCCUUUCCUGUCAAGCUGCGGUCCUUGGUAUCUGACAACAAAGUUACAAGCUUCUUGUCAUCUAACGAGAGCAUUGAAGCUUGAGGGAGGUAACGACAAAUGUGAUCACCAACAUUCUAGGCUAGGCUUCCAAACUCUUGAUCAUCAAAUUAACCUCUUCUUACUCUAGUUCCAAGCUCCUGAUCAUCAUUUUCCGUGCAAAUUGCAAAAUGCUUCUCAGUGAGGAUGAGGGAGAUAGAUCUCGAUGCCGAGCUGGGAGUGGAAGCUAGAGAGGAACGAAAGUAGUUAUCCUGACGAAGCGUUUUGACUUUUGAGAGAGACGGUGGUUAUCGGCGGAGGUCUCGUGCUUAAGAGCGGGAGCACCAAUUCAUGGAAAAGAAUGUACAAAUAUGACCGAAGUGCAAACUGAGAACUGCAAGAGGCAUAUCAUAAUAAGAAACAAGGUUUAGUUGGUGAUAAAACUACACAAAAUUGAAGUGGUAAUGCCAGCAUAUGCAUGCUCUUUAACUCACUUGAAGUGGUAUUGCCACGAUUGCGCCCAUAGCUCCAGAUGUUGAAUACUUCCUUUUUCUUUUAAUUAGCCACUGACCCAACAUUAGCUAUUCCUCCAGUAUGAUCCAACAAUGGAUUACUCAUCUCUCUUUGCACUCCACAUCCAUCGUCGUGUUCAUCUAAAUGUAAACAAAAGUGUCGGUACCUUAAUUACAUGUUGGUCUCGCACUCUCCUAAUUCCGAUAAGCCCGAGAGCAAAGCAACCCACACCAUCACAAACCUGUAUUGCAUAGCCAAUCCUUUUGCCUCAAUUAUUGCAAAACCAAUUUCGCAAACAAGUAGCUCAUAGCUUCGCCGGAAGUUGGUUUCCGCUGCGUCUCUAUCGGAAUCAAUAUCGACCAAGUUACUCCGUCGUGUGCCGACCCCAUCACUAUAUUCCUCGAAGAACCGCCCUCUGACCUCGACUCCUCCGUCGCCGUCUUGGCGGCAAGAACCUCCGGCCCUCAGAUUUUAACUAUAACGAGUGAUUUUUACUGCUAACAGAAGUUAAUUGCUGGAUUUACGUAUAUGCCCUUCAUUUUUGAACCCUAUGGACAAUAUAUAGCCACCUGUUUUGGACCCACUCUGGCUGUUUUGGACCCACUCUGGCGUACGGAAUGUUGGCGUAGUCCAGCGCUUUCCAUAUCAUGUAUCAUAUUGAAAUUUGGUUGCGGUGGAUCCAAAGUGAAAUCUUUAAGCAUGGAUCCAACCUACGUGCGGCAAACGCACCACCUGGACUUUACGACCAACCAAUCAACAAGGGACAUGUACGCUUCUUUUUUGUUGAUGUCAGCUCUGCUAAAAGGAAAGAAAAAAAUUUGGAUUCCUAUCCACUCCGAUCAAACCAAACUAGAUCGUCGAAACCCAACCCACCCUAUCGCUCUCUUCCACCUUGCCUUCAACCACGACCAGACCUUGGACCCAAGAAGAAUUGAAAAGCAAACUGACCUGGUGACAAGUUUUUCCAUUGACGGGGUAGAUCGACCGCCGACGACACGAACUCCGACCAUUAGGUGGACGGUGGGAUCUGAGAGAUUUGUGUUUGGUCUUUUCAGUGGAUAAGGGAGAGGCCUGGGUUUUUGAUCGGAGAUCUACUUCUUUUCGAUUUCUUUCUUUUCUCUUCCUUCUAGCAAUGUCCACUCAGCAAAGAAAAUAAUAGGUGUCAUUUUUAAACUGGGUGGUCGCACAAGCAAGCUGGUACGUUUGCCACACGUAAGAUUUUCUCAACCUGACAUAUUGAAAUGGUUUCCCUCAUACCAAAAAAAGAGAGAAAGAAAUGGUUUCCCAUACUUGAUGUGAAUAAUAAUAUUGGGAAGUUAAAACUACUAUCUCUUUUUUUGUUGUUGUUGAAUAAAAGAGACGUUAUUAUGAAAUAUAAUUUGAAUCGUACAUAAUGAGCAUCUGGUAAGAAUUUUGGAGCAUGAGAGAACCAUUCUGCGGUAGUAUUGUUAUCACUAGCCUCAUUGUUGCAAAGCCAAAACCUGCUAGUCUAUGUGCAACCAUGUUGGCUUGCCUUAGGGUGUAUUGCAGAGUGAAAGCAUUAACUUCACUGAGAGUGCCUUUGAUGUCAUGGAUGAUAGCACUAAGAGCAUAUGCAGCAGUAUGUGCCUAUAGGUUGAAUUUGUGCAAGGGCAUAUACUAUUCAUAUGAAGAAUGAAUUGCUUUGCCUUCACAUUUUGUAUGCAACGGUUGAGAGUAAGAAUGAUAGGCAAUGUAUUAUUUUAAGUAUAAAAUUGACAUGAUAGGUUGAUUUGAGGUCCACUAUUUGACAUUUAAGCAUUGUUUUAAUCAGUAAAUGACAUCUCACUACUAUAAACAGUUGCAAAACAUAGAAAACCUAAUUUUCAAAAGAUUUAUACAAAUAAGGACGGAAGCCUAAACCCAAAACAAUACAACAUCAAGCAUAAUCCAAAUUCUAAAUAUAUAGUGACCAUAAUACCCAGAAUUUUAACAAAAUUACAGAUCGUGUCAUUCACUCCAUUCUCUCUCUCUCUCNNNNNNNNNNNNNNNNNNNNUCGUCUCUCUCUCUCUCUCUCUCUCUCUCUCUCUCUCUCUCUCUCUCUCUCUCUCUCUCUCUUUGUGACAACCAUGUUCAACAAGACUCUGACUUCGGGCCUCGCCGGUCACCGCUCCGAUCAGAUCUACCGACGUCGAAAUUGCAAGGAGGCGAGGAAGGGAAGAGAAGCCGAAGAAUGAAAGGAUGAAUGGUGAUCAAGGCUUCAAUGAAUCAGACCAGAUCUGAUUUGGUUCUUCCUCUUCUUCUUCUUCAGAUCUGUCGGCGUUGAAAUCUCAAGGAGGCGAGGAAGAGAAGAGGAGAUGAAGAAUGAAAGGUCAAUCUCUACAACUUGGUUUACUCAAAGAGUCAUUGGAAUUAAACUCAUAGCUUUGAAUUUGACAACAAAAAUUGAUCAUUUGUAGCUAAUUCGUUCUCUUGUUUCGUGCUACUACUGCUUGUUGUUGUUAUGUGCUGCUACUGCGUGCUCUUCGUGCUAUUACUGUGUGUUGUUGUUGUGUGCUGCUACUACGUGUUGUUGUUAUGUGCUGCUACUGCGUGCUCUUCGUGCUGUUACUAUGUGUUGUUGUUGUGUGCUGCUACUACGUGAUGUUGAUUCAUGUUUCUACUGUGUACAACUACUGUGUGUUGGUGUUGCUACUACGUGUUGUUGAUUCAUGCCGCUAUUGUGUAUUGUUGUUGUGUGUUACUACUGCGUGUUGUUGUUAUGUGCUGCUACUGCUUGUUGCUGCUCUGUGCUGCUACUGUGUGCUCUUUGUGCUGCUACUAUUUGUUGUUGUUGUUGUGCGCUGCUACUACGUGUUGUUGAUUCAUGCUGCUACUGUGUGCUCUUUGUGCUGCUACUAUUUGUUGUUGUUGUGUGCUGCUACUACGUGUUGUUGAUUCAUGCUGCUACUGUGUACAACUACUGUGUGUUGUUGUUGUGUGUUGCUACUGCGUGUUGUUGAUUCAUGCUGCUACUGUGUAUUGUUAUUGUGUGUUGUUACUGUGUGUUGUUGUUAUGUGCUGCUACUGCUUGUUGCUGCUAUGUGCUGCUAAUGUGUGCUCUUCGUGUUGCUACUGUGUGUUGUUGUUAUUGUGUGUUGCUACUACGUGUUGUUGAUUCAUGUUGCUACUGUGUAUAACUAUUGUGUGUUGCUACUACACUAAGUUAUUAAAAAUCUGCUAUUGUAUUCUAUUUACUGAAAAAUAUCAAAAUGAGAUUUUUCUCUUCUAAAAACAUAUUUAAUUAGUGUAGGGUUAGUUUGAUAAAUUAAACCAUGACACAUGACAUGCAGAGAAAAAAUUGUCCUUAAUUGUUAAAAACUGUUUUUAUUUGUUUAACAACAACACAAAUGUUUAUUUGUGUUUCAAAUCCUUUUGGAGAAUAUAUAUGUGAUUUGCUUUUGUUUAAUUGAAUUGAUGAGUUGACUAAGCUCCACCAUGUGAAACAAGUCGAGCAAUCAAUUAGGCAAAAUUUGCCUCUUGAUUUGGUUGGGCAGGUAGGCCCUACCACAUUGCUUGCAACUAUUGGACAUUGUUGUAUAUGGUUUUCUAUGAAAAAAGCAGAAAAGGCAACAUAUGCCCUUUCCUUUGCCUAUUGUUGCAGAUGGUCUUAGAUGAGAGAGGUCUGCUUCAUUGGAGUUGAUAGUGUUCAUUGCUACCAAGCAAUCACUUUCAGCGAUCACAUUCUUUAUCUCCAUAGCUUGCAGCAGCUGAAACCCAAAACUCACUGCCUCCAAUUUAGAGUGAAGAGUGGAGCUUGAGUACUGCACUCCUACACUUCUUAUUCAAAUGUUUAUAAUUUCAUGUAUGUGAGCGUUGUGGCGAUUUACCUGUUCUUGUGUGAUCAAACUCCAUCCCCCAUAUCUCUUGGAUUGUAUGUAGAUCAUAUAUGUUCCGCUUGUACAAGGUACCUACCAAUAUCAGAGCCAAAAGAACCAGGCUCUUGGGCAGAAAUGUAGAAAGCUCGUUCUAAGCACUUCUGACUUUUAUUUAUAAAAAAAUGAGUUGAGGUGAACUCAAUAUUUUGUUCGAUAGAAAAACCAAGUGACUUGAGAUUUGACAUAUAUAUAUUCAGGAUCAAAAGCCAUGAACAAUUGAUACUAAUACACAAAGAGACUCGGCUGCUUUUAUAAAUUUAGGCCUUGUUUGGUUCACAGAUGUGAAAUCUUCUCCUUUGCAUUACCAAUCCUAGUGCCAACUGCUGCUGCCACGAAUCCAUCUGUAGAUUCGAGAAGCGUAUGUCGAGCGCAGCGACUUGAAAGCCGCCAUCACCCUCUACUGUCCCAGAAGCCAAGAUCCCCAAACACCAUGUGUGACAACCUCCAUCAGCACGACAUGUACAAUUGAAAGAGAGGGAAGCUAUCCCACUCAUGUAUUGCCAUUGCUGGUCGGACUAGAGUGUAAAGCCUCCGAUCGCCGACCUAAAUCUCUGGUUAGAGAGAAACUAGAGAUCUAAUAAGAGAAAAUGUGUGGUGCUACUCACACACUUUGGCCCAGUUUGGUAUUGCAGUUUAAAAACUCAGUUUUAAAAAAUCACUGCUGUGAGAAUAAUCCGCGGUCAAAUAAAUCUGUUAAGCGUUUGGUAAGUUAUCAUUUUUUAAUUGCUGCGAUAAAAAUAAGUAAGGUGAGAUGUUUGGUAACCUCAUUAUAAAACUGCAGUAUUUUUAUGUAAUGACCAAAAUAGACAAAACACUAGAAUAAACUCUUUAGCUCUUUUUUUUGUCGAUAACAACUUUCUCUUUCAAUUUUUGGCUUAUAACCCAUUAUGUCAUUCCUCUUUCUUUAACUUUGCUUAUACCAGAACCUUAUAUAAUCAUUAUAUAAUCAAACAAAAAUACAUGUGAACUUGUGAAGAGCCUCUCAAGAGCCUCAGUACAUAUAUUUAAACCUUAAUUCAUAACAAAACUUCAUAUAUAUAAUAAAAAAAGUAUUUAUUCAAAAAAUAUAAUAAAAAUACUAGUUAAAUAUAAAUCCACAACCUUAUUGCAAGAAAAGAAAACUAAAGUCUUGUCUCUAAACCUGUGCACCCAUCAAACUUGAAGCAAUCCUGUUUCUCAAUGCCUCCAUCUCUCUAGAAACAUGACCGUGACCACGUGCAUCAUCCUCUCUCCCAUGCUCUUCAAUGUCAUCAAAGGUUUCACUUUCGUCAAAAACUAAAUCACGUAAGGCAUACAUUCUUAUAUAGUUGUGAAGUGUCAUUGUUGCUAUAACAAUUUUAACUUGCUUAUCAAAUGAGUAACUUGGCAUGUCCCGUAAAAUAUUCCAUUUUUUUUUCCACACACCAAAAGUGCGUUCAAUAACGCCCCUGAGGGAAGAGUGUGCAUGAUUAAAUACUUCUUUAUAACUUGUUGGUUGAGCACCUCUGCGAAAUUCAGGAAGAUGAUACCUUUGACACUUGUAUGGUCCCAAAUACCCUUUCAUUUGUGGGUAUCCUGCAUCCACCAAAUAGUAUUUUUCUGAAGAAAAGAAAAAAAAGUUGAUCAUAAUUUCAAAUGUAAGAAGUGCUUUCAAUGUUGAACAAAUGCAUGUUUUUUUAUAUAAAUAUAAUUACCACUUGGAGGCUUAGGAAAGUUCAAAGCUGGAUUGUGAAUUACUGAUUGGAAUAUUCUUGCAUCGUGGGCAGUGCCUUCCCAACCUGCACAUGCAAAUGUAAAUUGCAUGUCAAAGUUGCAUACUGCCAUUAUAUUCUGAGUCGGUAUUCCUUUUCUGCCAAUGUAUGGUACUUGAUCUGAUGGUGAUAUAGUUGCAUGAAAAUGCACGCCAUCUAUAGCUCCAAUACAAUCCUGCAAAAACUAUGAUAUUUUAUACCACGUUGUUUGUUAAAAAUAAAAAUGACUACAAGAUGUAAAAUAACUUACCUUAAAGUGAGGCAUAUAUGUAGAAUCACCAAGUAUUUCAGGUGGAGUGCUUUUGAACUCGGGAUCUGAUGGCUUGAUGAAAUCUUUUGCCAUGACAUCACAUAUCACAUUGAGCAUUUUAUUGAAGUAUCUGCUAACUAUCUCACCAGAGUGUUGAAAUCGCUCUUGAACACUUUUGUUUGCUUCACCUCCUCCUAAAGUGUACAAAAACAUUGCCACCUUCUCAGCCACACUAAUUCUCCGGGACGCUUUCACCUUAUAAGUAUUCUUCAAAUCAUCACACAAUUUAAAGAAUACAUCUUUGUUCAUCCGGAACAUGUUAUGACAACGAGUGUCAUUCCCUGAUUGUAAUUCCAUCACCCAAAUGUUACCAGUGUAUAAAGAAUUCAUACAAGGGACCUUAUGAAUAUACUUUUCAUGAUACAUUUCUAUCAUAGAAGCACAAAUGCAGACAAUUCUACUAAUCUCCUCUUCCUCCUCCUCUAAAAUGUCCAUAUCCAUAACCUGCAAAUUAUUCAAAUAUCCAUCAAGCUAUCAUGUAGUAGUACGUGCUAAAUAUAUAUUCAAGACAAGAAAAAAAGCUAAUAAUAAUAACACUCAAAUAUGUGAAUGCUUAUUGAAAAUAUGUAAAAAAAUGUCAAGAUCAGAAUCAUGCUAGGGAAACAGAAAUAAGAUGCAAUUCAAGAAAACAUACUUGUAAAAUGUCACUAGUAAUCUUCUUCCUUCCUAACUACAUAUUAUUUCCCCUGUCUUGAUUACGCAGGAUAAAUUGAAGCUUCAUCUCCGGAUCUUUCAUCACAGAAAACAUUUCCCUCUUCUCUUGGGAGCAAAAUAACUCGGUUGCAAACCACCACAAUUGGCUACCAAUCUCUAUCCCUGACAAACUUUCAACUACCUUCAUUACUUCAGAAACACUAGUAGAUUGUGAACCUUUUAUCAAUGCAGACGUUGUGGUACUCCUAGCCUCAACUACCUCAACAAGAUGAUUAAUUUGUAGGGACAAUUUUGCGGCACCUCCCAUUUUAGCCUUUUUCUCUUUUAGCCCUUCUGUGUCAAGUUGACCAUUUGCUCGCUUAUUUCCUGUCUCUUUGGUAACUUGAGCUGACUGUGGACUUUCAUUGAGGUCAAACUCCUCAUAAUCAAGAUUAUCAUCCAAUGAAAUAAUGUUGUCCUUUGGAGCUUUCUCAUUUUGAGGCGGUGGUAGAUCAGAAGAAGGAGCCCAAGCAUAUUUACCGGUAGCUACAGCGCCAUUUAACAUCAUAUCCAACUUUACCUCCAUAUCAGGAUUGAUGCCUCGAAUACGCAAUUUUGCAUAUUGUGGAUUUAUCUAUAAAUCAUAAAGAUAACAGUUAGUAUGGAGACAUAAUACUACAAUAUCAAACUAAAUAACAUUAGAACAUAGAUAACUUUGUGCUACAUACCUGGAUUUUAUUCCUCCACCAUUCAUCUGAUGCAUCAACAAUAUUUUUAGUGAGAUUCCAACCAAGGCCAGUUUCCUUCCCAAUCAGAUCUUUCCAUAAUUUCCAUUCUUUUUUUAGUAAAUCCCACUUGUUCUUCAAUUGUGAUUUGUCAUAGUUAUUUCCAGUCUCUGCAUGAAAGUUUGCAACCAAGCUAGCCCAUCCUUCUUUAUUAAAGUGAGUACCAGGCCUUUGUCCUUUCCCAACUUCUUUGAUACACAAGUCGCAAAAUAUAGCUACGGUUUGAGGAUUCCAGGUAGCUGAUUUAGUUCCACUUUGCCCAUUUUCAAGGUUGAUCAUCUCAAUGCAAUUGUCACCAGUAAUCUUCUUUCUUCCCAUGUUUACUAAAGAAUUAUAAAGUAUAUGCACCAAUAUACAAAUUACAUACACCUCUUAGGAACUACUGAAAUAACCAAACAAUAGCAUCAAAACUAUAUAUAGCUAUAUCUAAAUGCUUAGGAACUGUGGCUAACAGACUAGAANNNNNNNNNNNNNNNNNNNNNNNNNNNNNNNNNNNNNNNNNNNNNNNNNNNNNNNNNNNNNNNNNNNNNNNNNNNNNNNNNNNNNNNNNNNNNNNNNNNNNNNNNNNNNNNNNNNNNNNNNNNNNNNNNNNNNNNNNNNNNNNNNNNNNNNNNNNNNNNNNNNNNNNNNNNNNNNNNNNNNNNNNNNNNNNNNNNNNNNNNNNNNNNNNNNNNNNNNNNNNNNNNNNNNNNNNNNNNNNNNNNNNNNNNNNNNNNNNNNNNNNNNNNNNNNNNNNNNNNNNNNNNNNNNNNNNNNNNNNNNNNNNNNNNNNNNNNNNNNNNNNNNNNNNNNNNNNNNNNNNNNNNNNNNNNNNNNNNNNNNNNNNNNNNNNNNNNNNNNNNNNNNNNNNNNNNNNNNNNNNAAUUCGGCUUCAAGUUAUAUAUCUAGUGAGCAUAUGGAUCAAUUAUAUUCCCAAACCAAUUAAUAUAAACCAAUUCACAUGAUUCAUUAAUUCAUUACAUAGCACACGAGAACGACAAUUCAAAAUUUCAUACCAUGAAAACACCAAUUCAAUGUUUCAGAGAAUACUACUGACCUAUUUGCAGAGAAAUCGCCUCUUCAAGAUGGCACCUGCAAUCAACCUUUUGGCCUCCCUACAAUAGAAUUAUAAAUAUAUCAAUUCAUGUAUAAGUUAAUAGGGAUUAUAUAUAACCAGAGAAAGAUAGAAACAUAGAGAUAACCUUGAUAAAACGAGAUUGAGAAGAACGGCAUAAGGAGGAACACCUUUGCAGAAUUUAUAUAAGAGACAAACCCUAGAAUUGAAAGAAGGCAUCGCGCCCAAAUUGAGGAGAAAUAGGCAAAAUGGCGGGCAGAUUUGACAGAAAAACAUAGCAAACGCGUGUAGAUUUGAGAGGAAAACGGAGCAAGAGCGCGAAUCAGAUUUGGAUUUGGCGCUGGGUAUUUUAGGAUUUCACAAUUGUAAGCGAGUCAUCCGCGUCUUCUCCGAGCGUUUCGGAAAACCAGAUCUGAAAAAGCAGGUCGCGACCUGCUUAUGAAAAUUGAGGUUUUGCACCGUGAUUUUUAUAAAAACACGGGUUUAGAAAAUUUACCAAACGGGCUGAAAGCCCAAAACGUUAAAAAUAAGCUAAAAUUUUCACGAAACCGUAAUCCCAAACGGAGCCUUACACCUCCUUUUUACUUUUCAAUAUAAACAUUUGCUCACUAGACCUCAUUUCAAAUUCCUAACAUAACCUUAGUUAUUUAUUGACAUAUAUUUCAAUCAAUUAAUUAUCUCUUCUUCACUCAAUGGACCUCUCAUUCUUUGUUUUUUUUUUUUUUUCAUUUUUUUUUCAACAUCCAUUAUCCCUACCUUCAUUUUUUUAUUAUUUUUUUCAUGCAAGAAAAUUUUCUAUCAUGAACUAUUCUAUAUAUCUUUUUAAUUGUUUUUAUCUUUUGUAUGUGUUAUUUUUUCUCCAUUUUUUUUCUUUUGAAUAAUUUGAUCUUUAUUUUGUACCUCAUAAUAAAUUAUUUCAAUAUAUAUAUACAUAUAUAUAUUUUCUAUGAUCGAUAGAUAUUAUUAUUAUUUUUGCAAAAAAAAUUAUGCACCUUGAAGUACGUAUAUGCGUUCAACAUGUAUGAUAAUACAAAAUUUUAUGUCACAUGAUCGAUAUUGAUAAUUAUUUUUUUGCUCUUAUAAACUGUAUAUAUGCUUUAAUAAAAAUAAAUUGGAAAACAAAAAUAUAUAAGGAAAAUAAUAAAGAAUGUAAUCAAUUAUUAUUGAAUUGAAAAUUAAGUCUAAAGAGAAUAAAUAUAAUAUUUUCUUUUGUAUAAUUAUUGUCUUUAAUAGUCAUUAUGUAUGAGGAUGUAUAUGUCAGUUAAUAAUUCACAAUAUAAUGAGGGUUAGUAAGCAAAUUUAGAGGUCAUAAUAGCCGCACUUUAGAAAGAAUUUCCUCAUACAAUUGACUAUGAUCUAUAAUCAUUAAAAACUUCAUUAAUCAUCAAUCUAAACACAAAAUCCAUGUUGAAUGUAUGAAAAGAAAGACACCACAAAUUAGUGAUGCAAAUUUUUAGAAAAGCAAAGUCAACACUCAAAUUAGGGCUUAUCUGUCUUCUCUUCAUCCUCACUUUAGUGUAAAUACACGUCGUGUAAAUACACGUCGUGCAUACAAGAAUUUCCACAAAACCAUACUAUUAAACAAAUUGAAUUGUAACUCCAAUCCAACCAUCAUCUUCUUCCCUGCCAUCAUGGCCGCCCCUCUCUGAUAUUUGAUCCGCCGCUGUUUGCCCAAUGAAGCGUCGGUGAAUAAAACUUCUCAUGUUGUUUCGUGUUUUCCCUUCCUUCGUGAAAGCGUCUUCCACACUAUUUAACGUGGGAAAACAAUAACUGCAAAUCAGUUUUCUCUAAAAAAUGUAACUCUUUUAUUCUCUUAGAUUACCGUUGUACCGUCUUUUUAUUAUAUCAAGCUUUUGUAAACUUAUAUUAAAAGAGGGGUAAUCAAAGGCUUUAUGAAAAUUUAACCUUUGGCGGUUCUAUAAGCCAAAUUGGCUUAAUUAAUACUGAUUUUGUUAUAAUAUUUCAUUAGUGUUUUAUAAAAAUUUAUGAUAAAAUUAAGAAAUUAUUAUUUAAAAUUUAAAAAUAUUUAUUAUUAUAAACGGAUCGAAUUAACGGGUUGUGUAUCCGUUAACCCGUCAGAUCCGGAUUUGGAUCGACCUAUCAAUGAUUCGGUGGGUAACAGAUCAGAUCCGGAUCUAAAAUUUCUAUUACGGAUCUGGAUUCGGAUCCGGAUCGAUCCAGUCACAAAAUCAAAUUUCAAAAUUCCCAUCAACCUAUGUACUCUUAGGGUGUUCUUCCCACAAACAAAAUUUUCAACAUUCUACAUAUUUUUGCUGACCAUAAUACCCUCCUUUUCCCGAUCUCUCCUUCUCUCUUCCUUCUCAGUUCUUCUACAGAUCUCUCUCUCUCUCNNNNNNNNNNNNNNNNNNNNAUAUCUCUCUCUCUCUCUCUCUCUCUCUCUCUCUCUCUCUCUCUCCCCUCGCUGCAAAGAUCUGACCAAAGAGAGGAGGUCGUCGUUGACGGCAAAGAAGAGGUUGGUGAAGCCCCAGUCGGCGCUGAAAUCGUCGUUGGCGAAGCCGUCGACGCUCAGCGAGGCCCAAUCCGGCGUUCGGUGGUUGGAUUCGAGUUCGAGUUCGAGUUUUUCGUCUAAUUGCUAUCAAUUGAAGAGUGAUUUGAAUCUAUGGAUUGCUGCUACGGGUGCUAUGCAUUUGUAUCAAGCUUACACGGAACAAAUGUGAGCAUGGAUUUGAUGUAAACCCAUGCAAUUCCAUGGGUGGUGCUAUUCAAGGUCGGAGUUCCUCUUUCCCUGCUUACAAACUUGAUUUGAAAUUGGCAAAUUUCUAGACCCAAGUAUGUGUUUCUACCAUAUCAUUCUCUAUUGAACAUUAUCGUGAUUGGCCCCUCCUCUUAAUCAAAUUAAGGAAAUUUUAAUAUUUGUUAUUAUGAGCAAUGAUCCUAGGCCAACAAAGAGUACUGAGGCUAGGAUUUUGCAAAUGGAGAUUUCUGGGAAUAUUGCUGAGAACAAUGCUAUGGACGUUAGACCCCUUACUGCCCCGAUAAAGCUCAGCUAGGAAGCAAUACUCGAUUGCUAUGUACAUGGUCAUGAGGCCCAAUAGGUUUAUUGAUAUAUACCUUGAUUAAUGGCAUCGCCAUCUCUCACUUAAUUCUUUGCUUUUGUUAUAGAGAACCCAUUAAUUCAUGAUACUCAACAAAGUAACAGUAUUUCUGGAGAUAAAGUAUGGUCUUAUAAUAUUCAAUGCUAAUGUUGAUGGAGUUUUUUGUUUGCAGAGCAUAUAUCGGUUGUUUUGUGUUGAAUGCAGCAGAGCAAUAUAUAUUGGUUUGGUUGUUGUUGUUGGUGAGGGGUUUGCGGUGGAGAAAACGCAUGUCGUCUGCCCCUACUGCCUCUAGUAUACCCCUUACUGCCCCCAGUAGACCACCAGACAGAUCUCCUAUAGCCCCCAGUAGACCCUCCUACUGCCCCCAGUAGACCCCCCCUACUGACCCUAGUAGACCCUCCUACUGCCCAUAGUAGACCCUUAGACAGACCUCCUACUGCCCCCAGUAGAUCCCCUACUGCCUCAAUAGACCCUCAUACUGCCCUAUUAGAUCCUCCUACUGCCCCAGUAGACCCUCAUACUGCCCCAGUACCCUGGGCAGACCUCCUACUUCCCCUAGUAAACCCCCUACUGCCCUAGUAGACCCUCAUACUGCCCCAGUAGACCCUCCUACUGCCCCCAAUAGAUCCCCUAGCUUUCGUCGGAGCCGGUCAACGGUCGCCGGAGCCCGGUCAACCGUCGUCGGAGUCCGGUCAACGUCAUUGGUCGUGAAAAUCCAGUCAUAGAAACUUUAUUUUAUAAUAGACUCUUAUAAUGGUCUAUUGUAGUUUAUUUAAUUCAUUAAGGGUAUAUUUGUUUUUCUGCUGUUUAAAUUGGCUCUUGGGAAUUUUAAAAUCUGAUUUUGUUAGUGGGAAUAAAAUUUUUAAAAUUAAGGCUAGUGGGCAUUGUCCCAUAUAUUUAUUCUCUGUAGAUGAACAAAUACAAUACAUGUAUGCAUGUUGAAAAUAUUGUACCCCAUGUCGAGUGUUCAUAAUCAUUAAUGGAAUCUCAAGGAAACAACCCUAAACAAGGAAAAAAGAAGAAGAAGAAGAAGCAGCCGCGCGCCAGCAAAUCUAAGUUCCACAGCGUGAGGCUGUCUCUUCUCAGAAUUUGUGGCCGUGAUGGUGGUACGUGGCUGGGUAAUUAGCCAUCUCAAAGAACCCCACGAUGGCAAUCAAUUAAUUUCAGUUUGACUAAAUUAAAAUCAUUGCAUGAAAUACUACCACGUUUUCCCUACGGACCAACUCUCUCUCUCUCUCUGUUUGUUUUUGUUGUGGAAAACGAAAUUCACAUGGGUGGCCAAUAAUGCUGAUCUAUAUAUAAGUAGCAACAGCAUCACAAGCUCUUCAAGUUAAGCUAGCCUUUUAUAUUUACACAAGCGCUUUAAAUUCUUAAACAAUAAACAUUCAAGUAUUUUUCUUGAGUUUCAGACUCGGAAAAAAAAAAUUUGGCUUGAAGUUUUCUAAAUUUCAUGUUAAAUAUGUCUUCCCAAGCUCAAACCUCAAAAGACGUCACUGCUGAAGUCCGAGGUUCAGCCAACUUUUCUGAUGGUGUUUGGGGCGAUCUUUUUCUAUCACACGCUUCUCUGGUGCGUAAGAAGUAACUAGUAUAUAUAUCAUUAUUUUUUGCCACAUAUGUUUAAGAUAUUAUUUUAGUUUUGAAUUAAUGUAUGACUUAAUUACAAUUUGCAAUUCUAUUUGUUUGCAUAUGCAGGAAAAUGAUACUAAAACUGAGCAGCAGGUCCAAGAAUUGAAGGAAGAAGUGAGGACGAUGCUAAUGUCUCCAGUUAAAAAGAUUUCACAAAAAUUGGAAUUGAUUGAUGACAUUACGCGCUUAGGAGUGUCCCGCCAUUUUGAAGAAGAGACUGAUGAAAUUUUGCAGAAGGUUUAUGAUAACGUUUAUCAUGCUAAUGACCUGUAUGAUAAAGAGCUUUACUUCACAAGUCUUGUCUUUCGUUUGGUUAGACAACAAGGUUAUAACAUAUCAUGCGGUACGCUAGCUAUUUCUAACUUUGUGUCAUUGUAUAGGGUAAAAUAUUGCAUAGUCCUUGUGGUUUGAAGUCGACAUCUGUUUAAUCCUUAUGGUUUUAUUUUAAUCUGCGUAGUCCUUAAAGUCAGGAUUUUUUAUCCAAAUAGUCCUUAUGGUUUUAUUUUAAUCUGAAUAGUCUUUAAAGUCAUGAUUUUUCAUCCAAAUAGUCCUUAUGGUUUUAUUUUAAUCUGAAUAGUCCUUAAAGUCAUGAUUUCUCAUCCAAAUAGUCCUUAUGGCAUUUAACUGAGAAAAUUGUCAGAAAGACUAUUUGGAUGAAAAAUCAUGACUUUAAGGAUUAUUCAGAUUAAAAUAAAACCAUAAAGACUAUUUGGAUGAAAAAUCAUGACUUUAAAGACUAUUCAGAUUAAAAUAAAACCAUAAGGACUAUUUGGAUAAAAAAUCCUGACUUUAAGGACUAUUCAGAUUAAAAUAAAACCACAAGGACUAAACAGAUGUCGACUUCAAACCACAAGGACUAAAUAAAUUUCAAUUAUAUAUAUAUCUAUCAAUUGUUUUAGAAGAGUUUCCUCUAAUCAUGUGACGUUUGUGAAGCGCAGAAAUAUUCAGCAAAUUCAAAAACGGUGAAGGAAAAUUCAAGGAGUCACUUGUCAAUGAUGUAGUAGGACUACUAAGCUUGUAUGAAGCCACACACCUUAUGAUGCAUGGAGAAGACAUAUUGGAAGAGGCACUAACAUUCGCCACCACUCAUCUCGAGUCUGCAAUGCACAGCUUAAGCUCCUUACUUUUGAAACAAGUAAAGCAUGCCUUGUAUCAGCCCUAUUGGAAAGGCCUACCAAGGAUUGAAGCAGUUCAUUAUCUGUCUAUCUAUGGGGAAAUGGAUUCACACAAUAAAGCUCUGCUAUCUCUUGCAAAGUUGGAUUUCAACCUAGUCCAGAAUGUCCAUCAGAAUGAACUAAGUGAUAUUGCAAGGUUAAUCCACAAAUUAUUAUCAGUUAGAUAUAUAUCAGUAAUACUAUAAACAUGCUAAGUGGUUAGUUCUACGAGUAACUUUUUUGUUUUUGAGAAUUGUUUCAGGUGGUGGAAGGACUUGGAUUUUGUGAACAAACUACCUUUUGCUAGAGACAGGAUGGUUGAGUCUUACUUUUGGGCUUUGGCAGUCUACUUUGAACCUGAGUAUCACCUUGCUAGGAUGAUGUUGUGUAAAUUUGUUGCUAUAAUAACAAUCGUUGAUGACAUUUAUGAUGUUUAUGGCACGUACGAAGAACUAGAGCUUUUUACCGAAGCUGUCGAGAGGUUUAAAUUAAAUUUGACAAACUAUUUUUUUAAUUCCUAUUACAUGUAAUUAAUCGUUUAUCAUGUAAGAUCAUCACUUGACACAGUUUAACUAAAUUUGAUAAGGUGGAACAUCUCCGCUGCCGAUCAGCUGCCAGGUUAUAUGAGAGUUUGUUAUGAGGCGCUGCUGAAUGUGUAUACUGACAUUGAAGAAAAGCUUGCAAUGAAGGGAAACUUGUAUCGCAUCCGCUACGGUAGAGAAGCAGUAAGACGUACUACUAAUCCUAAUAUAUCUUGUUCGUUUUGUAAUUAUCAAAGAGACUAGAUAUAAUUGAUUUGUUUUAUGCUCUCAGUUUAAAGUUCAAGUUAGAGCUUACUUCCAGGAAGCCAAAUGGUUCAAACAAAAUUACACACCAACGAUGGAUGAAUAUAUGGAAGUAGAACUUAAUACGUCCUUCUUCGCGUUCUCAACCACAGUGUUUCUUGGACUGGGAGCUAUUGUGACAGAAGACUCCAUGGAUUGGGUGUUCGAUGACCCUAAGAUUGUAAAGGCUACAUCAGUAGUCGGCAGACUCUUGAAUGAUAUAGUCGGCCACAAGGUACAUCCUCAUAUUUGCAUCAGUAUUCAGACUACUACUGUCCUCAAUCGAUCUUUGGAUCUUAUAACCGUAGCCUUGUGAUUGUAAAUGUAUGUAGUUUGAGCAAAAAAGAGAACAUAUUGCUUCAUCAGUGGAAUGCUACAUGAACCAAUAUGGUGUCACAGAGGAAAAAGCGAAAACUGAGCUAAUGAAGCAAGUCAAUGACGCCUGGAAAGAUAUAAACGAAGAGUGGCUCCAGGCCAACACGAGUAUCCCGAAGACCCUACGAUGGUUUAUUCUAAAUCUUGCUCGUUCUGGCGAAGUUAUCUACAAAAAUGAAGAUGUGUUCACUCAUUCUAAAACUGUACUCAAGAGUUGUCUUGUCUCUCUAUUCGUCGAACCCGUGCCUGUGUAAACUUUUUUUGGUAAUGUCGUGCUUGAGUAAACUUGAUAUAAAGUCAUGUCUCCAAAGUCCUGUGAGUUUCAAAGACAACAGGUUCAUGCUUGCUGGCCCUUGAAACAACUGUACGUUUGAAUAGAAGAGUUGAUUGUAUUGUCUGUUGAAUUCAUAAACAUCAAUGGAAUUGUAAGUGUGAUACGUGAAUCCUUUCCACUCCCAAAUCUGAAACUAUAUCUCAAUUCAUCUAAUCCUUGAUCCUAAUUCCUAAAUCGUGCCCAGAUUCAUUACCCUCGUGUUCACCCAAACUGAUUAAUCCCAAUUUUGCCCCACGACUUCCCCCAAUUGGAUCGUUAACCCCCAACUUUUGCUGUCUUCUCUGUUCGUAAACUUAAUCCUUAACUUGCCCUCUUCUUCUGCAACAACACGACUUUGGCGCUUCGACACCGUUGGACUUCUUGAUUCGUUGUCUGCCACUGCGCCCCUUAAUUCUCAAGUUUUCUGUCAUCUGUUUAUUCUUGUUUUUUUUUUUUGGUCAAUAGAGAUCAACGCAUUAAAUCAAAGUCAGAAGACAACACAGUACAAUUGAAAGCAAAACAAAGAGAACAGAAACAGAACAAACAAACAAAAAAGAAAGAAAGAAAAGCCGCCAGAAAACUUGAAACACUAAUAGUUAGCUAGCUCGCACAGCUAGCUCCAAAGCCAGAUUGAGGAGGACCAGGCAAUCCAUCACUCCUUAAAACAUUGAUCAGAGAGUUUAGAGGCCUGCUGGCCCAUUCCUGAGAGCACAAACUCUGGAUGGCAAGCUUAGCCGCUGCAUUUGCAAGGAAGUUAGCUUCUCAUGGAACCCAGUUCCAAUGAAUCCUUCUGAAAAGUGGCACCAAGUGAGCAACCUUCUUUAGGAUAGGGGAGAUUCUCCAACAAGGAGAAGCUAAAGAUUCAUUUAGAGCCUUGAUCACCUCCUAACAAUCUCCUUCGACAAUAAUAUGCUCCAAUUUCAGAACCACCGCCAUUUUGACACCACAAAGAAGCGCCUCAGCCUCAGCUUCUACAGCCGAAUUGUGAGACCGAAAGAGGCUAGCCCCUGCAAUAGACACACCCAUAUGACUGUGAAUAAUAACUCCCGAGCCAUGUAUUGUUGUGGUUUGACUCCUUCCAGGCAUCGUCAAAAUUGAUUUUCACCACAUUUACAAGAGGGGGAACCCACAAAGAAAUGGGUCUUCAAAUAGACUGAGAGGAUUGAAACAAAGACAUCCUAGCUUCUUCCCAGUUCAAAAUACCUCUUUGAAUAUUUUCAAUCACAAGACUAGGGUUUGGAGUACUAUUUCUCAUAACCACUGAACACCUAUACUUCUAAAUCUCCCACAAAUGCAAACAGACAAGAUUAAGCACAUCCUCUCUUUCACAAGAAAACAUACCAACAUUCUUAUGAAUUUCCAACAACCACUCCUCAAGAUGAGAAAUCCUUCCCCUGUCAGGAGUGUAGCCUAGGGAGCACCCGAACCACACAGUUAAAGUUUAGGGACAAUGAAACAAGCAAUACUCAAUCAUCUCUGGAUGAUCACCACAUAUAGCACAAAUUGGAGUUUUCACAAUUUUCCUUCGGAAGAGACACCACAUGGAAGGCAGGGCAUUUGACAACGCUCUCCACAUGAAGUUAGUUAUCUUGGGAGCCAAACUUGGCUUCCAAAUCAAUUUCCAUAUUCUGACAUCAAAAGAGUGGGAAGAGGAAGGCUUACUUACAUGCGGCUUCUUCUGGAAUUCGAAAAGCUUAUGAUAGCCACUUUUUACAGAAUAGUUUCCCGACUUUGUAUAAGGCCACACCAAUGCAUCAUCAUCAGCUGCAUUUCCAAUUGGAAUAGCCUUGAUUGUUGUGAUAUCAUUUUCCUCCAAAAAUGGCUCAAUGUGAGAAAUAUUCCAAUUUCUAUCCUCAUUAAUUACAUCAGCCACAGCCAAGGCAGUGAAGCGAUUAGAGGUAAUAAUAGGUUUGAUCAGUCCCCAAUUAGAAUUCGGAACCCAUCUAUCGGUCCAAACAUCCACAUUUUUUUCACUAUUAAUCUGCCACAGAGCAUGCUCACUUAUCGUCUCACGACCUGCUAAAAGGCUGUUCCAUACCCAAGAAGGCCGAGAACCUUUCUUUGCUUUCAAGAAAUUGGAGUUUGGGAAGUAUCUUGCUUUCAUGACUUUACCCCAUAGAGAAUUCGGUCUGUUGAUCAGUCUCCAUCACUGUUUAGUCAACAAAGCCUUGUUGUAAGUGUGAAGAUCUUUAAAGCCAAUGCCACCCUCUAACUUGCUUGUGCACAACGGGUCCCAAGCCUUCCAAUGAAGCUUGUCCUUUGAGUCCGAGAAACCCCACCAGAAAAUUGAGAUGUCAGAAUUAAAAGCUUUGCACAAAGUAACUGGUAAAAGAAAAAUGGACAUAGGGUAGGCUGGGAUUGCCAUAGCCACCGCUUUGAUGAGCACCUCCCUUCCAGCUUGUGAGAGAACAUUAGCUUUCCAACCCUCCAAUUUCUGCUUAAUUCUUUCACGGAUGUAGGCCGAAGCACUCUUCUUUGAGUUUCCCCAAUGAGUAGGGAGACCAAGAUAAAUACCUGGCUUAUCUGAAAUAGGGAUGUUAAGUGUGGAAGCUAUUGAUUCCUUAAGCUGCAAAGGAGUGAAAACUGAGACGAAAAUAGAGGAUUUUCCAAGAUUGAUUGAUUGCCCUGAAGCUGUGCAGUAGGAGUCAAGAAUGACUUUAAGAGAGUUGCAGUUUGCUGGGGUGGCUUUAAGGAAGAACAGAGAAUCAUCUGCGAAUAGGAGAUGAGAAAGACCAGGACAUCCCGUACUCAAUUUGAUUUGUUGAAGAUGAUUGGAGCAAGUGGCUGCAAUGAUGGAUUUGGAAAGGACUUCCCCUACAAUAAGGAAAAGGUAGGGAGAGAAAGGGUCUCCUUGCAUGAGUCCCCUUGCAUGAGUCCCCUCGUGGGAGUGAAGGAUUGGCCCUGCUUCCCAUUAAUUAGAAUUGAGAAAGACACAGAAGAGACCACUUUCAUAACCAGGCGAACCUAGUCGGAACAGAAACCAAAUUUCAACAAAGCAGCCUCAAGAAAGUUCCAUUCUACCCUGUCACAAGCUUUGUUCAUAUCCAACUUUAAAGCAAACUUAUGAUCAACCUUGGACUUCUUCAACUUCAAAUAAUGGUAGGCUUCAUGAGCAAGAAUUAGGUUGUCCUGGAUUUGGCACCUUGGCACGAACGCAUUCUGGCGUUCAAAGAUUAGAUGAGGGAGAAGUGGCUUAAGUCUGUUCACUAGCAACUUGGAAAUGAUCUUGAUGGAGCUAUUACAUAAGUUGAUAGGCUUGAAUUGAGAGACACUCUCCGAAUGAGGAACCUUGGGGAUUAAGACAAUAUUUGUCUUGCGGAUGUUAUUCACUAAGAACUCACCCCUGUAAAAACAAUUAACAGCAGAGUUGACAUUAUCACACACAAUUUCCCAAUAUUUCGAGUAAAAGAAACUUGGAAAGGAAUCUGGUCCCGGAGCCUUGAAAGUCCCCAAUUGAGUAACAGCUUUUUGAACCUCAUAAGCCGAAAAAGGUCAAGAGAGAUCCAAAUUUUGUUCAUCAAAUACAGAGGAAUGAACAUUAUCUAGAGCAUUUCCCCAACACCUAGAGCCAGAAGUUGUGUAUAAAUCACCAAAAAACUUGGUGAAGGCAUUUCUGACCUCUAAGUCACCACUGAUCCAAAUAUUAGCACCCAAGCACAGGCUGCUAAUUCUAUUCAUCUGCCUCCUGAAAAUUGUAGACAAGUGAAAAACUUUGAAUUAUGAUCACCCUCUAGCAGCCAAUUUAUCCUGGAUCUCUGCUUCUAAAAAGAUUCCUCAAGGUUCUAGGUGUGGUUUAUCUCCUGAAGCAAAGCCUGCUCCUUUUCCUUCGAGUCACACAAGACCGAACCCUCUUGUAAAGAUAGAAGGUCAUUUUGGAGACUCUCAACACGAAGCUUGUUAUUUGGAAACUUGACCUUGCUCCACCUAGCUAAAUCAAAUUUGCAAGAUUCCAGAUUCUCACUCCAUCUCCAAAAAGGAUCAGAGCACUCCGACUUCCAACAAGCAGCCGCUACUUCAUCAUAAUCCGGAUCCUUCACCCAACUGGCCUCAAAGCUGAAAGGCUUUUUAAAUCUCUCUACUUUUGCCUGGAAGUAUAGAAUCAUAGGGCAAUGAUGUGACCCAAUUCUCGGUUUAUGUUUGACAAAAGACUUCGGCCAAUCAUGAAGCCAUUCAGCAUUCUCAAUUGCUCGGUCCAAACGCUCCCUGAUAAUCUCAUUGACAUCUUCUCGCCUGUUUUCCCAUGUGAGGCGAGGACCUGUGAAAUGGAGAUCAAGUAAACUAUUGUUGUCCAUAAAAUUCUUCAAAAAACGAGUUCUACUCCAACUCCAGGAAACACCUCCCUCCUUCUCAUCCAUGGAAACAAUUUCAUUAAAAUCCCCAAUCCAGACCCAAGCACUAGGAUUAGAAAAAGCAAGAUUCUCAAUUGAGGACCAUAAAGGAAGCUUGUCUUCAUUGUAAGGAGGGCCAUAGAAGAAAGUGACCCGAGUAGGAGCAUCGACUGAAGAGAACUUAAUCACAGUAUCAAUCAAAUUCUGACUCCUGAAAAUAAUCUCAACAUCAACUUCAGGGCGCCACUAAAUAGCUAAACCACCAACAUAAAUUCGAGACGGCAACACAGUCUCCCCCUUGUAGAAUUUAAACUGGCCCCACAAUCUAUUAACCCUGAAAUUCGAUUGUUUAGUUUCAUAGAGAAAAACCACGGACGGCGAAUGAGAGCGAAUGAGCUGUCCAAGUUUCUGGACUGUCAAGGCUCGUCCUAGACCAUGACAGUUCCAGGAAAGGAUUUGACUCAUUGACUCCUUAUGGCUGUAGGACAGCCACCACCGCCCUGGAGAGAGGAUUGCUCCUCCAGCUCAACAACCACAUCAGACAAAACAUUGCUCCCCUCUGCAAUUGGACCUCAUGAAGAUUCUAAUCACUGUUGAUCAAACCCGCCUCAGUCCUAAACCCAGGCUUCUUCCGCUGCCUAUAAACUUCUCUUCUAACCCCAGGUAAAGAUCCAUGUACCCUUCCACCAAUAGAAGCACUUCCACGAGAGCUGGGUCUUCCCCUUUUUCAAGAAAGCCUAGAUGAAGAAAUCGGAUACGAAGCCUCCAGAGACGAUAAAAGCUUUGUUUUGGACCCCGACACAUCAAGACCUGGAUUUUGGACAUGGUUGGAUUGGAUAGAGGGUGGAGGUGAGAGCACAGAAGAAGAUGGGGAAACAAGUUUGGGGUUAUGGAUUUGCGGCAAGGGAAGUUCACCAAUGAUUGGAAUAUGGUUAAGUGAAUCGGGGUUAAGUGAAAGAGGGUUUGUGUUGAUAGGGGAGAGGGUGAGAAUGGGCUUAGAAGACAAGGGCCCAAGUCGGGAAAGGCCUAAAUUGAUAAAAUGUGAGCAGGGUAAAGCAAGGCUGGGCCUGGGAUGGCAAUCUUGAGACUGAGAGUGCGAAAUGGGCCUUGAGGAUAUGAUAGAGCACUUUAGGGCCCACUCUUCAUUGGUUUUCGCCGAGAUGAUGGCAAUCUUUAACCAAUUAGGGCUAGGAAAAGACUCAGACAAGGCAUAGCUGGAAUUCAUAGAUGAAAACCAAGCCCGAAGCCUGGGGUUGGAAGAGGUCACGAGGGUGGCAUCAAAAUUUGAACCCUAUUCACAGAAACAACGCAGGCUAGAGACCUGGCUUUGUACAAAGUUCAGAGCAUCAACAGUGACAGGAGAGGGGUCAUAGCUUCUAGGGCUCACAAAAGCCAAAGCCAAAUUUGAAAGUUCCCCAGCAUGGACCACAAUCUCAGACUCCCUGACACAAGGCUCAUUCAAACUCGCUGCAUUCUAAGUUCGACCCUGUGAUCAAGAGUGACUGUUGGGGUGGCUGUAUGGGGAUGAGUUUGACGACCACCGGGUUUUUGGUUUCCGUCAAACUACACUCGCCGGCCUGUCCAACCACGACUGUUGCUUCUUGGAAGAAACACCCUUCCUCAUCCACGGACCAUACCACUGGAUUUCACUUUCGACUUCCUCUGGGCAAACUAGGUGUAGAUUUUUCCAGCCAGCCAUGUUAUGACCCAGUCUACUGCACUUGUAGCAAAAAUCUCUCAGCCCCUCAUAAGCGAACUCCACCCUAGUUUUUGUGUAGGAGUUCAGCGGCAACCAGAAACUGGUGGGCAAAGGAUUUCUAGAGUCGAUCAGGACCUUGACUCUAAGAAAACCCCUCAACUUUAAAUCCACCGAGGAGUCUUCAAGCUCCAGAACAGUCUCAAUCUCAGCACCAAUCAUCUCAACAUUCUUUUGGUUCAUCUUUUCCCUAGUCAAGCCAGAAAUUUAGACCCAGUACCACACUUUAUGAAAGUGAGCAUCUCUAGUAGUGAGGUUAGGGAGCCAACGUACCACAUUGAAUCUCAUGUUGUCAACGUGCCAAGGGCAGUCCUCAAGAAGAGUCAAGACACUUUCUGGUGGGACUCUGAUAGAGAAAACAUUGUGGUGGAGGUAAUUAAUCUUGUAGUUUCCCACUUCCUUCCAGGCAGUGCGUAUGUAGAGCACCCUUAAUUCCACCAAUGUUUGGAACCUCAUCAGCUAGCAGAGCUCCGAGCAGAGACACCCCGUUCUCAACCUCAUCAAGUGAGCAUGAGUUUUCCAGUCUGGAAGCAAAAGCAGACAUGUUGGAAAUUAAGAAACAGAUCUGUCUCUCAAAAGAAAACACCAAAACAAAAGCAAAACAAAGCUACCAUGUGUGGGUAUAGAGGGAACUCCAAAAUAAUGGAGAGAAUGAAAGCUGUUUAUUCUUGUUGUCUUGCAAAUUUCCAGUGUUCUGAACUUUUCCUGUACUUUCAAGACUUCCUGUGCUGGGUCUUUUUGUUGUGUUGUUUUGUUCUGUAUAUACUCUAGGCUCUACUCGAAAUUGUUCAGUGUAUGCGUUGGCUUAGGGGUCAUCAUUUGGUCCGCGGUAGUAAAAGCAUGUAGACGGUCGGCCUGAAGGGCCAAAGCCCAGCCCGGCCCAUAGAAAAGCCCAUCUCGACCCGACCCAUAGGGCAUGAGGCCGGGCUAGGGCGGAGGGUUCAAAGCCUUGGCCCGACUCAUUACAUGCCCAUCAAAGCCCGCCUGGCCCGGCCCUAAAAAGCCCGCCCAAAAACCCUCUCCAAAGCCCUAUUAAUUGUUUUAUAAAUUUUUUUUAUAGAGUCAAUAGUUAAAUAUGUGAACUUAAUUAAUGCAUUAAGUCAUAAUUUAUUUUGAUUUUUUUAUUACAUUUAGUUCAAUCAUUAAUAAAUCUAACUUUUUUUUUUUUAUAGUUUUUUUGUUUUAUUUGAUAAAAUUUUAUUAGAUAUAUGUAUAUAAUAUAUCCGGUUCGGCCCAUCUAAAAAGCUCGGCUUGGCCCUAAUAAUCCCAUAAGGCCCGGGCCCAUGGGCUUUGAUUUUUUUGAAUAGCCCGGCCCAGCCUAGCCUGAGCCCAUAAGACUUGAGUAGGUGUAACACCCUGACCUUAAACUUGAUUAAUUAAGUAAACAAAUUAAUUAAUUCCCAAACACCAUCACAGUUGCAGCACAAUUUGAAUAGCAAACAAAAUUCAUAAUUAUCAAUCACCUUUUCAAAACAUGGUCAAACUCAACACCAGCAUUAGCCCAACAGUACUCAUAAUCCAUAAUCACAGUCAUUGUUCAAAAUUGAAAUUUAGUUACCAUAGGUGACGUCAAGUUUACCUUUUCGUCUCUAACAAUAGCCAUGACCGACUAGUUGUCGAUUUCUAAUCUCCUUCAACUCGAUUUCUCACAUAACGAACUGAAUGACGACGGCCAAUGUCUUCCAUUGAUUGCCAUUCGACUAUUUGUUGCAAGAUCAAAAGAGCCCGAUGUCACUUGAGAAACGUCGUUCGGAUAUUCAUCGUCUUACGAAGUUGAACACCAGCGAAUUUAGGGAGAGCUUUGGGAGGUCGAUGCGAUCUCCCCUCACUUGUUCUCUAGAGAACUUGGGAGAUACCAGGCGUAUCUCGACUCAGGCCGUCGGGUCUUUCUAGAUUGAGGAUCCUCCACUCCCCUUCCUCGGUAGGUCGGUGAGCAAUAUAUCACCGAGUAGGUCGGUGUUCUCCCUCUCUCUUAAACCUUCCUUUACUUUCUCUCUUCCUCUUUCUUCCAGAUUCUCGACCCUUCUCUUUUUCUCCAAAAAUAUCUAUGUCCCUUUCUCUCAUUUUAUUUAUUUUAAUUUUAUUUAUUUAUUCUACUAUUUAUACAGUAUCAAUAUAUGCUAACAGAAAAACAAUAAAUUAUUUAAGCCUAUACAUAUAUUGACUACAUGAGAUAGGCUUUGAUUAAUGUCCCUUUGAUAUCCAUCGACUAAAUUAAUGAUAGCAAUUUCUUUAUUUAGUAAUGUGGACACUCGACUUGUGAAAUCCUGAACUUUUAAAUAAUUUAUCUAAAAAUAUUUGUGUAUAUAUAUACACACACAUAUGAAGGUAAGUAAUAGUUCUGAAAACACAAACCAUUUUUCUUUACAAAGAAGAUGUUUUACAUAACUUACACAAUCAUUUGUUCAAAAGCCAAGGCCUACUGUGUUUGUUUUUAAAAGAAGGUUAAAUACAUACUUACGAUAUCUCCAUUCACAAAGCUUUGUUUAAAACCAAAGUAUUUACUAUAUCUAGUUAAAAGAAAGUUAAAUACAUAAUUGUAUGGUACCCUAUUCACAUAUAUUUUACAUAUUCCUAAUACACUAUAAUUCAGUUUUACAAAUAAUAGGAACUAGCUACAGCAAUCACUUCAUUUUGGGUUACAAUUGGCUGUAGAAACUAAUUGGAUUUGCUUGUAUGACUUUCAGCAACUCUAAGUUCCAGUUGUAGGUGUUCUAUUUCUUCCUUCAGCUUGCUUUGGAUCUUUGAUUAAACUUGCAACAUUUACAUAUCAACAAAUCAGUAAAAGAGAAAGUUACACAUGUUUUAUACUUUUUACCCUAUAUUAAAGUGUGCAGGCACACUUUUGCUUGGGUUUUACAUUUCUUACCCUAUGCCAAAGUGUGCAGCGACACAUUUGCUUGUGUUUUGCAUAUAGUUACCCUAUACCAAUGUGUGCAACCACACUUUUGCUUGUGUUUUAUACUUCUUACCCUAUACCAAAGUGUGCAACCACACUUUGGCUUGUGUUUUGCAUAUAGUUGCUGAAUGAGCAGCUGAAAACUUGGUCUCCAAAGUUCAAAAUUUCUGUUGGCAGAUAAGGAUAAACUUCAGCUGAUUUUUAUAGACAUAUUUGUGAAGCACAUUCACUAGUAUAAAUAGAGGUCUUCUCAUGAAGUAGUAACAAGUAGAGAAGUUCAGAAGUUAGAAUGAAAGUCAAGAGAGAAAAUUUAGAGUAGAAAAAGACUAGUAGAGGUCAGAAGCAAGUGAAAGAACCUAGUACUGAAGUUUCAGCUUCGGUAAAACAAGUUUGAGGUAGGGGAAGUUAUGGGGAAUCUCUUUGUUUUAUAAUCUUGUUAUCUUGCUUUGGAUUUGUACAUGUUGUUUGUUAAAGGUGGUUAUUAUGUUUAGCUUUUCAUCAUAUUAUUAUAUGAUCUUAUGUCAACAUCAUAUUACUAUUUGAUCUUAUGUUGAAUAAGAAAUGAAUGAAGUUAUGGGGUUGAGACUAUUACUUGAAAGGGACCAGCAAUUGUCUGCCUUUGUAUACAUAUAGGGAGAGAAGCCCUUUCAAUGUUAUAUUGAUAAAAUAAUCUCAUGGCAAGAAGAUACUGGUGACCAAGAAGAGUACAAGAGUACCAGCAACUGAAACCUAAAAUUAUGUGCAUACACUUAUAUUGAAAUUACAUGGAUGAGAUUUGUUCUACUGAGUUUUUUGGCUUACCCCUUUAUGAAUUUGUGCAGAUGUUACACUUGAGGGAUAAGACUUGAUGUCUAGAAAGAAUAUGAAGUCUAGGAGGAGGAGUGAAUCUAUAGCUUGCUGUUUUUUAUUCAAGUUUGUGUAAUAAGGCUACUUUCCUGUUUAUUGUAAGAAUAAUACUUAUGAAAUAAAGUUCUCCUUUACCAAGUCACUCUGGUUCUAAGUUUUUUCACAUAGCUUCUAUUUGUCAAAGGUUCUCUUAUCUUUGACAAAUCGAGGCUAUUCACGUCCUUACCCGGAAAAAAAUAUAUAUAUUCUCAAUUUCUGGGUCAGGGUGUGACACGACUAUUAUUACUAACGUUGUGUAUCAGGUAUUACAGUAGGGCCGGGCUGGCCGGGCUUUUUGACGAUCCCUAGAUGAAGUAACUGCUACUACUUUAGCGUCUAAAUUUUCUUUUGAUAGCUUUUAUUGCAUCUCUUCAGUUGGUCAGUCUGGGGGUUUGUUGCUAGGGAAAAUGUCUAUUAGCUUUAAAUUUGAAGAUUUUUUUUCCCACAAAUAAAAACAUAUUCUAAAAUUCCCAUCAACCCUAAAGCUCUUAGAUAUAUAUUCACACUAACAAAAUUUUUAUCUUUUUGUGUUUUUUUCCUUACCAAACUACCUUAAUUUCUAUCUCUCGUCACUGCUUUCUCCCACUCACUCUCUUUCAGAUCCUCUCUCUCUCUCUCUCUCUCUCUCUCUCUCUCUCUCUCUCUCUCUCUCUCUCUNNNNNNNNNNNNNNNNNNNNNNNNNNNNNNUGCCACCACCUCUUAACGGCUCCUCUCUCCACUCCCAACCCUCGCCAUCAAACACAUUGAUGUCACCAAAGAAUCACGCCGCCGGCACCUCUGACGCCGUUGGUGGCUUGUUGUGUGUUUCUUAGCCGCAACAAUAUGUUUUGCCUUCAAACGCCGCCGCGUCUCCUAUCUUGGUCUAGAGGGAGCUGGAGGGAGAUCACUAUGCCGAUUUCGGUAAUUUUCGGUAAGUCUAGGGUUGAUUUCCGGUGAGAUCGGGCUAGGCUCGGGCCAUGCUGGCAAGGCAUCGGUGAGGAUGACAACAACGAUGGUAUGCAUAUCUCAUAAGCUCAUUUCAUGAGGAAGAUGAGAUUGAAGAGGGUGCUAAUUCGGCGAUCAAAGAAGACGAGAGUUGCCGGAACGUGUCGUUGACACCAGAGAAGGCGAUGAGGGUUAUGGAGGCGAUGAGAAGGAUUUCGUUUGCUGGAGUGGCUUCAGAUUGGGCGGAUUGGGUCCCUGAAGAGAACUGGAUGGAUCAGCUUCACUUGCUCCGACAAUCACCCCAGAGUUAAGGUAUUGUUCCUGUAAGGCGUUGUUCAUGUUUUCUCGAAUUGAAUUGGAUUAAAAUUUGUGAAAUUGCUGCACUAUAUGUGUGGGAUGAUAUCAUUGAUAUUCCCCCAAUAAAUUAUAUGUGUGGUCUAUUAGUAGAGUAUUAUCUUUAAAAUGUACGUGUUUUUAAAUUUUUCGGCUUCUAAGUUGUAAUCUUCUAGUUAUAAUAGCUAUGGUAGUUGACUUUUAGGUCGUCACUGCAACGGGAAGGGUGUUAGAACUCACUUGAUUGAAGGGUCCUGAUUCCUGAUCCUUAUUGGCUGCAGAUUAACCCAACCGGAUGCAACCCUUGAAACUAAAGAAAUAUGGUCCAAACAGUGUCUACUUUUUAGAGAAGUAAAACUUUGGUAUCUCAACUUUGAAAAACUUUAAAACAAUAUCUCACAUUCUUAAUCGGACCGAAGAUCGGUAUGUGGAGCCGUUAGCUCCGUUAAAAAAAACCUAACGUCAGUCAUAUUUUUGUUAUAAAAUGACCAAUUUAACCUUCAGUUUUUUUUUGUGUAAUAAGAAAUCGUCCAAACAGUGUUUGACCUUUCAGCAGUUCUAACUUUUAGUAUCUCACAUUCUUACCCCGUUAGAAGAUUGGUAUUUAGUACCGUUAGCUUCGUUUUCGUAUGCUUGCGUUGGUGAAAUGGUAAUGGCCACCGUUAAGAAGGGCAAGGUUGAUUCCUUGAUCUAAGGAAGAUGUCAUGUCGUGGAAUUGAGCGAAACUGUGUUAUUUUGGUUCCCACCUUAUGUCUGCACAAGUUUUUGAGUUGCUCAAUGAAGUCUAAUCUUCUCCGAGCACUUACAUGUAAAUCAACCUGCAAUUCACAAAUCACAACACAAGCCCAGGUCCUUACAUCAAGCUUAGAGCUUCAAUCGAUAAAGCCCAAAAACAUAACUGUCAUGCAGGUCGUCUUCAAAUGUGAAUGAAACAUGUUUUGCAGAAAAAAAAGAAAAAUAAAUAAAUAAAAAUAUAGUUUUGUAUUGGGUGUCCGUGUUUCAACGGUUUUAGAAUAAGAUUGUGUUUGCGGGCUUUAACGGGUUCCGAUGGAAACACACAAGCCCGACGGGUUCUGCCUGUUUCAACCCGUUCACUUAACGGGUUUUUGCCGUGUGGCUUAGCCCGUUAAUGAUCCGGCACGUUAAAAACCUGCCCGUGACAGCACGAACCCGGCCUGUUGCGAGGCCUCUUUAGGUGUAUCCACUCAGGUCCCAUCUGCAGGAAACAUAAUCAUUAGUCAGAAGGCUUGAUACUUGUACACUCUAGCAAGAGCCAAGACCAGUACUGUAUUGUGUGAAAUUUCCAAAGAGACUGGUGAUGUCUUCACAUCCUUCUUCGUCGUAAAAUUUGUAAAACAAUCAAGUAGUUCACAAUUUCCUCUGGACAUUUAUGCUCAUAAUGGUUACUGUAUUCAUGUGAGAUAAUAGUAAUUCUUUUCUAGAAGGGGAUGAUAUAUGCUUUGGAGGUUAAAUAAGAAAUCGUAAAUAAUGAAAUUUACUUUAUAUAUGUGUGAGCUGCAGCGAUGGAUGCCCAUUUGGCUGACCAGUUUGGACCACUUCUAGUUGGACAUUUCUUCAGAUAGUGAACUAGUGAUGCAUUCAAAUGAUCCUUAGCAAAUUUAAUUAAAGCGUUUCUAUAUUCUAGGCAUAUGAUUAAGGUCGUUAAUUAAGCUAGACUAAAGUCACUAUACAUAGGUCACUAAUUCAUGAAACUUGUCGUUGUUUUUGGCACUUUCCAGUUAGGCCGGCUUUCUACCACAAAAAUAAUCAGGAUCAGAGAAUUCUACUAAUUCAUGUUUUCUCUUAUUAUUAUUAUUAAGAAAGAUGAUCAUCAAGCCUUUAUAACAAACAAACAAACAAAAAAACAAAGACAAAAAAGGAAAUUACAGGUUGCAGGCAAGAGCAACAAGAAGAUAUAGCUGUGCUAAGCAACCCGAAAACGACCUAAAGAAACCGUCACAUCCCGGUUCUUAAGUCAAUUUGCGGUUAUUUGCUAUUGGGUUACUUUGACAUUUUACCGUUUUAAGUAACCGUUUACUAUUUAAGACUCCAAAAGUUGACUUUUUCUUCCGUUUGGAAUUUGAGAAAACUUUUCUCCAUGAAAGUCGUAGAGGACGUUAAUACAAAUUCGUAGACAUGCUAUAUAUUAAAAUCGGAGUUAGCAUGAAAAAGUUAUCAGGUAAAAGGGGUAAAUUUUGAGUGGUAAAAAUGGGGUAAAUUUUAGUAGGCUUUAUUUGUUGUGGGUAUUAAGUUGGACCGGGUGUGGAGCAGCCCAACACCCCCCCCNNNNNNNNNNNNNNNNNNNNNNNNNNNNNNNNNNNNNNNNNNNNNNNNNNNNNNNNNNNNNNNNNNNNNNNNNNNNNNNNNNNNNNNNNNNNNNNNNNNNNNNNNNNNNNNNNNNNNNNNNNNNNNNNNNNNNNNNNNNNNNNNNNNNNNNNNNNNNNNNNNNNNUCUCUCUCUCUCUCUCUCUCUCUCUCUCUCUCUCUCUCUCUCUCUCUCUCUCUCGCCCGUUUUGACCCUCCGGAUUUGUCGCUUCCGUCCAUCGCCGUCCGGCCAAGAUAGGCGGCAUGCUUGGUAUCAAAUCGAAGCUUGGAACAUCCUCUUCAAGUCUAGGUAGGUGGCUGGUCGUGUGCGCCACCGUGAGGGAGGAAUCACGCUGAGAAGGAGCGGCUGUGCGUGGAGGUGUUUUGCCGGAAAUUCUCUUUUCGGGAAAUUCUCUUUUCGGGCCACCAUAGCCGGAACUGUUGGUCUCAACUUGAAGCUCUCCCUCUCAGCAGCAAAACCCUAAAAGGAUACAUCCUAACUCGAGCUAGGUAAGGAGAAUCGAAGGUUUGAAUUUCUAGGGUUCUUUAUUGUGUUUUUGUUCGAUUGACAUGUUUAAGCUUGAAAUUGGACUUAGUGAUAGUUAUGAAAGUUGUUUGGGAUGUUGAGAGGAAGAUGCUGUUAAAAUUUGGUAGCCAUUGGGGGCCGCCGGAGUCGGCUACCGGCGGAGCAGACGGCGGCGCCGCCGCUGUAAGGGGCUUUUCAGGGUUUUAAAUAUGUUAUAUUAAGGGGAGUCUAAUGGUAUGAAGUUUGGAAUUUUUGGAGGAGUUUUGGUUAGGUUUGGAAUUUUCCAGAGAUUGGAGAAAUUGGCAGUUGAUAGAAUAAAUCGGACCAUUGGAUUUUCUUGGUUAUGGUCCUAAAGUGCUAGAAUCGAUGAAGUGAGGUUGUAGAUGAAGUUUGGUGAAAAAUCUAAGUAGCUUAUUAGUGGGUUAAUUGGAAGGGUUUCAGUGCAUAAGUGAAAGCAUUUAAUUUCCUAAAUCAAAAAAUGGUUCUAAAUAUAUUUAUUGUGUCAAGAUACGAAGGGAACCUCGCUUGAGUGGCGAUUCGGAUAUCGUCGAGCUUAUGCCUAAAUCUGUGAGUGGACAUUUUGGUUUUAAUUAAAUAAGCAUGCAAGAUUUUAUAAUUUAUUAGUUUAUUUUCCGAUCUUAUAUUAUAACUUCGGCUUAUGAAAUGAUCUUAGAAAUUAUUUGAGUUUGAUGCAUGGAUUUAAUUGUUGGUCAAGAUUUAUGGAUUUGAGCUCAGAUUAUUAAUUUGAUAUUUGAGUUUGGAUAUUUUUAUAAAUUUCGGAUUUCAUUAAAAUGGUUUUAAUGGUAGACUUUGAGAUAUAUAAAAGAUUUCCGAAAAUGGGAUUUUCGGUAGUUUGCUAUUUAUAAUUUUCGAAAUUAUUGGUGGAAUAUCGAUCUUGAUCUCGAGAAUGUUUUAGCGAGUAUUUUGGAUUGAGAUAUUAAUCAUGAUUUUUAUUUGUUAAUUAAAUCUAGCUUAUAUUAUGGUUUGGAGAAUAUUUUGACAUGUGAGACACGUCAUUGAGUUAUUAUAAUUUCUUAUGAUGAUUUUCAAGUACGGUUGGGAACUGUACCAUUCUUAUGAUCUUGGAGAAGAUUAAUGAAUUUAAGUGUUUUCGUAUGUUUUAGUCACCAUAAUAUAAGUUUAUAUUGAUUACUGCUAGCUAACUAUUAUUAGCGGCUACUCACCAUAGGCGAGUAGAGCGCUCAACGUGGGACUCUAUUAUAACCUGGGAGGCAACCGAUCGGUAUUUAUAUUUAUUUGUUAGCUAGCCAUUAUUAGCGGCUACCCAUUAUAGGUGAGUAGAGCGCUUAGCAUGGGACGCUAUUAUAGCUUGGGAGGUUCUUUUUACAUGGUGAUAACUCUUCCCCAUAUUUAAUUUUUCUCAGUUAUGUAAUUGAUUAACCAGCGGGGCUGGUUUGUCCAUUCUUAUGAUUUCUGGAUUUAAGUAGUAUGAUUUAUCAAAAUUGUGUGCAGCUAAGUUUUUAAAGUUGAAAUGUGUUUUGUUAAAUUACUUAAUUAUUUUUGUCCACUCACUCCAACGUUUUUAAAUUACUUUCCCCUGGGCCUUUUGGUUUUAAAUGCCCAGUGUGCAUGCUAGGUUUAAAUGAGGUUGAGCGUACAUGGAGUUGAGGCACAGUCAAAGGUUGCUUCCGCUUAAUCUUUAUUCUUUAUUAAUCUUUCCUUAUUAGAUAUGCUCUGAUAGUUAGCUAGUGAUUUAAUGUUGUCUUUGUUUUUGGUUGUGGAAUUCCUAAUGUUUAGUAUUUGAUAAUUUGGGAGAUGUGAUGAAUUUGGGGAGCAGGAAGGCUCCAGGUGUUGGGGUUGGUUUAAUUUGGUUAUAGAAGUGUAAGUUUGAUUUUUCAGGAAAUGGUUGUUCAUUUUCAAGGUAGAUUAUACUGAAAUUUUGGUAAAUUUUCUUUAGAGGUGUACCCCGCAAGACUUAUCCCGGGUUUCAGGGUGAAACUCAGGGCGGAUCCUGACAUAAACUACCAUGUGUUCAACGAUAGCUAAUGCAGAAAUGAAAAUGAUAGAAAAAUUUGGGAACAUCCUACACAGAGCCUGGAACCAUCCUACAUAGAGGAGUCUCCGUGUUUUUCAGCCUCCACCAUUGCAGAAACCAAUUGACCGGAUUCUAAAAGGUCCAAACCCAGUUAUAUAUAAUAAAUGUUGUACCGACACAAACGAUCUCUGACGAUCCUUCUUUGCAUUGGUAGUGAUAGUCAGUUUCUAAGGAUGCACAAACUCCUCUUUAGGCUUGUUCUUGGCUCCCAGAGGACCCAACAUUACUCUUCUUCGGCGGAGUCACUAGAAGAGUCCCAGCCAUGUUAGGCAGUGACAGCUCCAACACAGGCCCCUAGACCAGCGUCCUCAGCUCGCUUACUGUAGACUGUGGCAUCAGCAGAUGCAUCACGCUUCUUUCCGGUUACCAUGGGAUAAUCAGCCAACGCCUAGAGAAUGGUUGCCGGUUUCAGAAUGACCGAUUGCAGAAAAGCUAACACACGCAUGAGAUCCUCCAUUGUAACUCCCGGCUUUGACAAACGAAACCCAACGCUAGGGAUUUAUGGUAAAAUAUCAAUUUUACCCCUGAUAAAUGCAUAAUGGCUAACGAGCCUUUUAACGGAGUGUGAUUGUUGGGCCGGGCUUCAUAUUUGGUGUACCAAAAUCAAUAAUUUGUAACUUGGGUACAUAAAUGCAUAGUCAUCUUAAGUUGGUGUAUUGUUCCUGAAAAUCUUUUAGGCAAAAACCGACUAACCAAUCGAUAUUGACAACCAACAAAGCCAAAUUAUGUGCCAAACAGGUGUCCUCCCACAAUAAUUUUCGGGCUUCAUACUUGUGUACUGUGACGAUCAAACUAUCGUUAUACAAACAAUGGGAGAAUUUUCUCCAAAAAUAUCUAAAUAAUCUAAUGAGUGCAUUCGGGGGAUGACAAGGAAAGAACCCUAGUUGCAGUUUUCGUAAGGUCGGAUAGAUGCUGAUAUUUAUAUAGCUCUUUAUUCUUACACAUUACACAUCAUGCUUUUUGGAUACAGCUAUUCUUGAGGUAGAAUAUUGUCCUAGAUGUUUAAACUAUUGUAGGAUUUGGUAACAAAAAAAUUGAUGAUGUCAAGAAACAAUACGAGUCAUGCAGCAACAGCAAGCAAAUUAAAACACCGAAUGAUUAGCAAUAAACAAUCCCCAGAUCUGGUUAUGGUGCAUUAGGUGCUACAGUACAAACUAAUUAAACCUCUCUUUGCCCUUCCACCUAGUCACCAACCUAGGGCAAUCAGGUAAUUUCAGUUCCCAUUUUUCUUUUAUGAAACAGUCUCCUAACUUUCCGACUCUCCCUUUAAAAAAAAGAGAGAAAAAUCAUCGCCACCAUCAUCAUCCUCCUCCUCGCUUAACUUUCCAACGCCCACAAGCCAUGUCCUUCUUCACACUACUCCUCCCAUGGACUCUUCUCCUUACCGUUCUACUCUCUCUACCCCUCUCUCUCUCCUCCUCUUCCUCCAUCCAUGACCUCCUCCGCUCGCAGGGCCUGCCAGCUGGUCUCCUCCCUAAGGAAGUCAAGUCCUACUCACUCUCCGACGACGGCCUCCUCCAAGUCUUCCUCGACGCUCCGUGCCUCACCAAAUUUGAGAACCGGGUUUUCUUCGACAGCGUCGUGAGGGCCAACCUCAGCUACGGAAGUCUCAUCGGAGUUGAGGGUUUGACUCAGGAAGAGCUCUUUCUGUGGCUGCCGGUGAAGGACAUCAUCGUUGAUGAUCCGGGAUCCGGUCUCAUACUCUUCGACAUUGGAGUAGCUCAUAAACAGCUUUCUCUGUCGCUCUUUGAAGAUCCUCCUUCCUGUAAACCCUCAGGUAAUUCCAUCAUGACUAUCAGAUGAUCAUCAUUUGCCUAGCUGUUUAGUUUUCAUUGUUUUUCAUUUUUCUUUCUGAGGGUUUUGUUUUUGUAACAUAUGUUGCGGUUCGUAUGGAUGGUCAUGUGGGUUUCUGUUAUACUUUUGUGUGACCUCAACAGUUUCUUUGGACUUUAAUGUCUGCCAUGUCUCUGAUGAUAGCUUCAGAAAAACUAUUCAACUCAUAGGCUGCUGCUUCUAAUUUUUUUUUUUUUUCAUAACAGAAAUUAUUAUAAAGUAUAUUUGGCCAUUUUACCUGUGCUCUCACAUGAUAAGUCAUAAUUUUCCAAUAAAACAAUGAAUGAAUUUAAAAAAAAUACAUAAAACACAACAAAUAAACCAAAAACACAGAGGAGCUUUGCUUGCUUGCCGGCUACCUCUGUUAUUAACUACUUGUUUGCACUCUGGCAUGCUACAAUCUACAAUUCUACAUUAAGAUUAUGGACUUAGCUAAUGUAUAUGCAUGAAUAGUAUGUAUAUGAGUACCUCAUUAGGCUAUAAACUUGUUUUGUGAGUGUUUAAAAAUGGUGGAAUCUAUAUUGUGGGUACAUGGAGACAAAUUGGCAAUAUAAAUAACAGCUGUUUAAUUAUACUAUACUAAUUUCUGCAUGAAAAACUAGCUAGGUAGCCAAAAUCAGUGUGAGAAUAGCGACAUUUCCACUGUGUUGUGCAUCUUCUUUCUUGGUCCACAAAGCUUGCAUGUAAAAUGGGGUGUGGGUUUGGUUCUUGAGCCUAAUUCAUGUGACUAUUGCAGGUGCAGUAGUGAAGAAUCAUGUGAAGAAGCAGGGAAAAGGGUUUGAAGCUCUGAGAUAGCUAGGGAGAUGAUUCCUAUCUGUUACAAAUGUGUGUUUUUCUAUAAUUGAGCAGUUUAAAAUUGAUUAGUCUUCUUAUUAAUUAAUGAUAUAAGUAUGUAAUUAGAUGGAGGCUAGCUUGAUUAGAGUAAUUAGGAGAGCCUUUAAAGAGGAAUAGGAGGAGUUAGCAAAGAUGUGAGGAAUCUGAUGUUGUAUGUGCUCAACAUAUUAGCGGUUUCUAAUCUUCUAAUCUUUGUUUUUGCCUUUGAUUCUCACCUGUUCCUUAAUCUCUGUCUUAUGUUUAAGCAAAGCAAGGGAUCAAACUUCUUUUAAUUAUUCUCUACUAUUUAAGUAUGAAUUGGCAAGGCAAGUAUUCCAGAGAGUAGGUAUAGAUAUUUUCAAAUUUCAUUUAAAUACUUAACUUUUCUUUAUUAAUAAUUUCAAUUUUAGCUCAUAAUCGACUUUGGAUGGGGUCUUUCUGUUUAAAGAAAUUAUCUCUACGCUGACUAUUAGUUUAGAAGUAAAGCCACUAUGAAUUAAACGCAAAGUCUACAUCCCAAAUCUAUAUUUAUAUAUGCGUGCCGGCCAGGUUCAAAGUCUUAGAGGGUUAUUAGGUUAAAUGAUAUAAAGCUUAUUGUCUAUAUACAUAUGAGGAUGACGAUUGACGAAGUUGUUUCCAUAGUCAUUCCCUGUGGCUAUGGGAAACAAAGGAUCGGUGUAUCCCAAUUGAAGGGAGAAAUUUCAGGUGAAGUGCUCGAGUUUAUAAGUUGAUGUCACGGAUGAGAUGACCAGAACUCCUCCCUAAACCUAUUCGAUGAUGAAUAUUCGAACAAAAUGUCUAAUCGUUGUUAACUUAUGAUGCGUGAUUCUUGAUUACAUUGUUGGUCAGUCAUCAAUAGGAUUGGCUCAUGUUAUUGAGCUUUGUACUAGCUACGUUUCCCGCUUCCAAGCACUGGCUUUACAAAUUACACCAAACUUAGUUUAACAUAACAUGAUCGAAGGUUUGUAUUGUUAAUUCUGUGGGUGCCUGCAUUAUCAUAUAAGUGAUCUUUUGCCACUAAUUUUAUUGAUCUUGAUGGAAGGAUUAAUCGUGUUUGAUUAGUUUAUAGUCGAUGAUGAUCAAGAAAAAACCCUGCCCUCGUGUACAAACUGGAUACACCAUCAUAUACUGCACCUCUUUGUUUUGUUACUUUGUCAUGUUUUAUACUUUUUUGUUCUUUUGUCUUUCACUCUGACUCGUAACUCGUCUUCAUAUACCAGUGUGAUACUGUGAUAGUAUGAUGUUGAACCCCGAAUGUGGGCCAAUGAAAUGUGGGCUCGAGAUUGUAAGAGAGCCCGGACUCACUUUCUUCAUGGAAUGGGAGUUAUGGGACACACACUGAAGACUGGAGUGACACACCCAUUCAAGCAGUCAACUAGUUAGAGCUUCGGCUUUAUCAUAGAAAGAUACAGGCCUUUUGGUCUUAUCAUCAAGAAAUAUCAUGACGAUCCCGCCAUGAGUAUGAUUAUUUAUGCAUUUUUCCGGUCAUUAUUAGUUUUUAAUAAGGACUUUAUAAUAAAAUGUUUGUUUAUUAUUUUAUUGGUAUAAUAUAUCUAUUGUAAAUGUGUCUGAUUGUAUGAUAUAUGAGAGUUUUUGAGGUGAUAAAUAGUCAUUACAUGGUUAUUUAGUUAUUUUUUUAAUCAAUAAUAACCACAUAUUUUGAUAGACAUGGUAUAUAAGAUGAUAUACUAGAAUUUUCUAAUACUAAAUACUAAAUGAUAAUUUCUAAAUUAACAGUGAAAUGAAUGUUUUAGACGAUGGAUUUUUUCAUACUAACAAAGCUAAUAUCUAAAUGACUUUAUGUAAUAACCUAAAACGCAUGUAACCCACACAAUUUUGUAACAUAGAGACAGAGAUUUCAUACAUUUUGGUUUGAGGCCUAGAGAUCUGAUGGUGUACUUUUCCUCUCAAAAUGAAGAACGAAAUCACCAUUAGAAUUGUGCUGGGAUCUUUCCUUACCCAGUAAGGUAUCACUUAUCAGUCUCCUCUGGCCAGGACUCGGUAUAAUAUAAUCAUUAAAUAAACUUAAAAAUUAUGGAUUAGACAAACCCAAAUGAAAUGGUAAAAUAAAGUAAGUGCCGAAAAUAAUAAAAACAAGUUCAAAAAAUUUUCAAAUAGGAUAUUAUCCCCCACGUGGCGGGCACGAGGAUAAUCACCAAAGAUGACACGGCCCCCGCGUUAAAAGCAAAUCCAAUUCCGAUGACGCUUCUUCUUCUCUUUUCAGGCCACAUAUAAUUACCCCAACCCCUUUUCAUUUGCUCUCCCUCAAAAACCUUCGGCGAUUAAUUAGCGAUUAUCUCAGAGAGUCUCUUCUAGGGUUUUAAUGGGAGGCGGCGUGAUGAGGACGGCGGCGAAGGUGGCCGGGAUCGGCAGCGUCAUGCAGGGCGGGAUCCGGGGAUCGCCGGCGGUGCCGUCGUCCGGGAAGUCGAUGCGGACGGCCUCGAUCCCCGUCGCGGCGGGGGUAUCGGCGCAGAGCUUGAAGGGGAGUGACGCCGGGGUGAUCGAGAAGCAGCGGGUGGAGGCGACGGUGGAUGAUUUUGUGGACUGGCAAGUCGUCGGCGGCGAAGAUGAGUUGGUGAUGUCAGCAGGCGAGCCGAUGCCGAGGGUUGUGUUCGGCGCCGCGCCGAGCUUCAAGGAGGCCAAAGAGGCCACCGCUGAGUUGAAAGAUGCUCUCGAUAAGUAUAAUUGCUUAGAGCCUUUUUUCAAUUUUUCUGUUUAGAAUUGCGUUUUGUGUUCUUUCUUCUUGCUAAAUUCGGUGGUGUUUUAUUGCUUAAUUUGAUACAAAAAAUAGUGACAUUCAUCAUUUGAUUGAUCAGAAAUCAUCACAGGUUUCUUUGAUAUCUGUUUUCGAGAGUUUUCAUUUCGAUAGGGAAAUGAUUACAGGUUAUAUCUAGUUUUAUUGUUCAACAGGUUUGCAAUUGGGUUAACAAAUUCUAGUUAUUAGAAAAGUUUCAGACUUUGAAGUUUGAACAUUUUCUGAGUAAAGUAGAAUUUGAGUGUGCUGUGUGUGUUUUUUUGUUUGGCUCUGGAAAUCUCAGUGUAGCUAGGUUUUUUUUGGCUGUGAAAUUGGGGAAAUCAUGGGGUUGUUCUAACAUGUACCAAGGCACCAAAUUUUUAUUCUUUAAAGAUUUUGCUGUCAAUACCAGGUCGAUUUAAUUUGUAGUUUUUUUUUGGUAUAUGGUUUACGUUUUUUAAGCUAACUCUAUCAGUGGUGAACUUUCAGGGCAUACUUAUCUUCACCCAAAAUUACUGAGCUGGAAGACCCGACUGCUGCUGACAAGGUGUCUGGGCAGUCUCUGUUUUCAAACCCUGGAGCCGAAACAGAAUCUGUUCUUGUAACUAGGACUUCAGUGCCACAACAUGCUUAUAAGGCAUUUGAACUGCUGAGUCGAAGUCCUGAGGCUCAGGUAUUGACUGAACUCCACCUCUUAGAUAUAUCUCUUGCAAAGUUGGUCUUAUUUGGACAAUCGAAGUGUAUUUUGUGUUUCAGCUGUAGAUACCAUAAUAACGUGAUGACUACUACACAAUAAUAUGGGAAUAAUUAAUUUCUUGGUUUUAUUCCCAGAAUGUUGUUGCUUCAAUUGCAAGUGACCCGAAUGUCUGGAAUGCUAUGAUUGAAAACUCUGCUGUCAAACAAUUCAUGGAGUCUCAAAAAAACUUAAACCAGGAUCCUUAUGACUCCGCUUCAGAUUCUGAGGUUUUCAAUCCUGUAUCUUCAAAGGAGGUCAAGGAGGAAUUUGAUUCAAGCCAAUCUUUUGACUUGGAACAUCUGUUCAAUGGUUUUGUGGAUAAAGUCAAGCUUACCGUCAAUACCAUUGUCAGCAAUUUGUCGACAUACAUUCAGAACAUUUUCGAACCCCCUGCAGAUGACAAUGGCGACAAUGGCUCUCCCAGAACUGUUAUAGCAUCUGGGUUCAUGGGACUGGCAAUUAUGGUUGUAAUGGUGGUUUUGCUGAAGCGUGCCUAAAGCUUCAUCGCUCUGCACAUGAAUCAUCUGAAAAAGCAAUCCGGAAAUGCUUCUCGCUGCAUGAAUGUUUAAUAAAUAAGAUCGAGUUUUCCUUCUUAAUAUCCUUUGGCAGUACUUUUAGAGGAUUUUGCAUGUGAUUAUGUAUGACAUGUUUGUACAGCUUAUUUCUCAAACGUAACUUGGGCAAAUCUUAAUUUGCCAAAUACAUUGAUGCUGCUUUAUUUGUAUUGAUGCUGCUUUAUUUGUAUUGUGUUUCAACAGCAACUGUCCGUUUGAUCCUUAUUGAUUGUGUACAUGGAUGUUUUUUAUUUUUACUUUUUUAUUUUAGAAUUGGGUGUACACGUUCGCCACCUCGAAAAGUUGAAGGUGCACAUGCGAAUGUCAAAUUUGGGCGUAGUUGAUAUGUUGGUAGAAAUGUCAACUUCAUUUUGUACACCAGUAGAGAGUUUGGUUGUUGCCUUCCUGGAUGCCAGAAGAAGAAAUUUCCAUGUGUGCACCAUUUUUCAACACUAACAAUUACUAACUGUUAAAAACUUUAGUUAUCAAAUACCCUUAAAUUUGAACCAAUUUUUCCAGUGUUGAAUCAAUCAUCGACCAACAACCAGGCAGAUAUCAUUCCAAUUAGCAAAUGUACUGGAACUGGAACUGUUACGGAGGGAAAACAUGAGCUCAGUGUUGUAGAUCACAAUCCCAGAUUGUUGUACAUCUACAGACUUUCUCAGAGCAAGUAGCGGAACAGUCUGGCAGUUAGCUCUUCCCUCACCCAUUUGGACAAGUAGGGUUUCUGUGUACUGCAAAAGCUUCUUUCUUUUGUGCUAUGAAAAUGGAACUUUGAAACAUGUUCAGCGUGCGAUAUACUAAUGUUCAAUGUUCAAUAUGUCCUCUUUUGAUAUAUGCAUCUUGCCUUUAUCUCUUCUACUAUUUGCUUGAGUGCGAUCAGGUUGGCCCCGCUGAAAACAACAUUUACAUCCAUGUAAGAAUGGUGACAGCAACACAAAUUUACACGUAUUGGUUAUUUAGCGCCAAUAUGCACCCACCUUCCUUAAGACAAAUGACAUGUACAAAUAGGCUACUUCCCAUUCGUCUUGUGAUAGUGUACCUGGAUAUCACAAAGCAGGAAUGAAAAAUGUAUUAAAAACGAAACCAACCGGAGACUUCAUGUUAGUGAUAGAUGUUUAGGGCCAAACAAGUAUUGAGUAUAGAACAUACUCUGAUCUUGGUUACCAUCACCUAAUGCACCAAGCCUCCGCAUUAAUUCCACAUACUCUGGCCUUUUCAUGUACUCGUGCACGAAUUCAUGAGAGUUCUUCGCAAAAAUUAACUCCAUAUCAUACUGCAAGAGGUGCAAUACAUGUUAAAGUUGUAUGAGAAGAUUAACAGAGCCCGACACGUAAAGUAUCAACAACAUCAAAUCUGAACCGACUCAAAAUAGCUAAAUGAAUUUCAAUCUUCAUUUAUGGUCAUUUUCUAGCAUUUAAAAGAUGUCAUACCUCUUCUACCAAUGAUUUGAAUACAUGAAAGGGGACAAUCCAUUCAGGGCAAUCAACAGCAUCCUGCAAAGUGAAGAAUUCAAAUAUAACAUUUAGAAUAACAUUUUGAAGAUAACAACCACUAAUAGCAAAAGAACAUAAAGGAUCAAGUUAGAUACCUCCAGGUGAAACUUGUACUUGAUACCAAAGGGGCUUGAAGACUUGAAUUUCUGAGCGGCAAAUUAUACGUCAAAUUAGAAUAUAAAAGAUUCAAAUCAUAUAAAUAAAUAAAAAUCAUGUCUCUGGAGGAUAACUAAAUGAUUUCAGAUACCUUUUCAGAAAAUUCUUCAUCAAAUCGUAUCCAGUACACACUAUUUCCAAAGAACAAUCCUUCAGCUGAACAAUCAAAGACAAAAUCGCAUCAUCAAUCAAUAAUGACCAAAAGGGGGAAAUGUACAAAUUAUUUUGUAGGAUGCUCAAAAAUUGAGUACUCAGCAAGGAAGGAUCCUCACUGAGGGGUACCAUUUAGUGAAGUCCCAACACUGACAGAAUAGGUUGGUAAGGUUGAUUAAGGGCUUCACACAUUCUAGAGAGAAUCAGGGAAGUUACAUAUAACUCCACUGGUUUCAUUCACAAGUACUAUAAAAUCUUUAAAAAGUGGAUUAACAUGCCAACAAAGAUCCCAUAUUCCACAAUUUCUAUUAAGGAUCCUUCCACCCCUAUCCUAAUGAACUUUGCCCACUCAAACUGCUUAUGUGAGAAGUUACUCGACAUAAUGAAAGAGCAAGAUAUCUAUUUAUUUGGAUUCAAUGUUGCUUCUUUAGCAUCAAUAUAAAACAGAGGCUCUAGGGUGUAAAAUUACCUUCUCUCAGCUUUUUGAUGAUCACAUUGGCGUCUGGCAUUGUUCCAAUGAAAGUUCCGCCUGGGCGGAGUAAAGCUGAAACAUUCGCCAGGGCUCUCCGUGCACGUGCUUCAGUGGACCAGGAAUAAUGCAAGGCAAACUGCAAGAUAAAAUGUGCUUAGGCUUAUGAUGGUUCUUUUUUCAAAGGAUAUCCUCACUUCCUAUUUUAAUUAGUUGCAAUAUAAAUGUAAUCUAUUGUUCCAUGAAGGAUUACCUGGCAACUGCAAAUAUCAAAGGGUGCAUCAUCUGCUAGGGCUUUAUCCAGUCGAACCUGAAACCAUGAACAUGACAUCAAUAUUUAAUGGGUAACGAACCACUCUUACGAAUUAUGUCCACACAUGCUGCUAAUGGCUGAAAGGUUGACUGAACAAAACACAGGAAAGCUCACUAGGGAUAAAGAAUGGUUAAGCUAGCAGCAAUUACCUCAUAGCAGUCUCCACAGAUAAGACGUGCAGGAAAUGUAAACUUUUUACGGCGUUGAUGAUGAUCGGCAUCACCAUUGUAACGGGUACGACAAUCUUCUAUCUGUGAACAGUUUAAGAGAUGAUAAUAAGAUCAUCAAUGACAAAUGUUAAAACAGAAGGCUGAAAAAAUAAUAAUAAUAAUAAUAAUAAACAGGCUUCAGCAUGUCUUGACAAGGACUUGAGCACAUAUAUGUCAUUACUUUGUUGGUUUGUCCUUGGGAAAUACACCCACAAAAGCGAAAUGUCAUAUACUUGGAACAAGAAAUUGGGAAGGAUGGUACUGAGAAAAAAUUAAAAUCAUUUAGUGCUACAAAGAGUCUGAUGAAUCGUCAUAUUAUGAGCUUGUCCAGGAGUUUUGUUUUUUUAAUUCUCAAAAAUAAAAGAAAAAAAAAAACAAAACCCAAGAGAAUAACAACCAAAUGAAGUUCAGAAAAUAGUACACUCCAUGGAAGGAAAGAUCAGAAUCCAAUAUCAAACACGAAGCAUCAAAUAGUAGAAUUUUAUUUCCCAAGAAAAAGACUUCUAACCCACACCAAAUAAGAAACUGAUGAGCACUCUACAACAUUAACCAAGGACAAAAACCAAAUAACCGAAUACAAGAUACUUCAUAAUAGUUAUAACUUAGACCACAAAAAAUCUAUAAGUUUGUAUUUACACCUUCUGAGACAUUAGCCAGUAAUUUCAUGGAAAAGCAAUGAAAAGUGAUUCUAGAAUCAAAAUCUGGACUCCAACAACAAAUUCAGGCAAUGGAAAAUAAUUCCAUCGCAGUAACUAUCUUAUCAAAGAAUGUCAACCAAAGGAGUUAAUUAACGUAAAACAAUAAUUCAGCGCUUACCGAUCCUUCAGCAAUAUCAAUGCCAACGUAGUACCCAAUUUUGGCCUUGUCCCAUUUGAUGAGAUCACCUCCCUACCGAAAAUAAGAUAUUAGAAAUUGUUCAGUGAAACAAAAGGAGAGGAGUAGAUAAAUGGACUGCCAAUACCUUGCCACAUGCAAGAUCAAGAACAGCAUCUCCACGGCGAGCAUAGAGCUGAAUUAAGACGCUCUUAAUCUGUUCCAUAGGAAAAGGAACCAUAUCAACAACAAAACUACCGUGUUGUGUUCAAAACAUUCCGAAGUAUAAUGAAUACUAAAAGACCAACCCAAUUGUUAAGCUUUUUUAGAUGGAUGAUUGGGCUAGCUUCUCGUUCUUCCAGAGUUUGAUUUGUCCUUGCACUAUAAUGAUCGGCCACUUUUCGUGCAAAAAUCUUUGUGCUUUCAUCCUCCAAGAAAUUUGAAUCAUCUAAGAGCACAAUGCAAGACACUGAUCAAGACAAAACACCUAACAAAACACUUGCAUCCCCCAUCUUGCAUGCGUUGUAGGAAGUAAAAAAGAAGCCUCGAAUUCAGAUUUUUCAUCAUAUGACUAUUACCAUAUCCUUUUUCUUUUGCUUUGUUCUAGUAGUACGAAUAUGAAAAUUAAGUUACCAACAAUGCAAGGUGUCCCAGCUCGAAUUUAUCAGCAUACUAGUGCUACACCUAUUUUGAACAGAUAAUUCGUUCAAAGCUUUCAUCUUUCUCCCUUUCACUCACUUACCCAGCAACCCAAUACGUAAAAGACUACAAAACUACAAGACCCAGGUCUAAAACCCCUCAAACAAAUCAAAAAGAUCAAAACUUUACCGCAUGAAACUUAUAAAUCCGAACCAAAGAGCGAAAGGGUAUGUAAAUAUUACCUUCUGGGUUGGCUUUGAACCUCGAUUGAGGUGGCCCAACGGAGGUGGAGGACGAUUCCGAGUAGCCUCGUUUCAUGGCCAAGGAUCAAAAUGGCAGAAUCGAAUGGGGCUCAAAAUCAGAGCCUUGCUAUCAAAAAGCAAAGAAACAAAAAAUUGGUAUUGUGUUUUAUAAUGAGAGAGACAAAGGCUUAAAAGGGGCUUUGGGUUUGAGGUCCAGGAUCAGGAUGUGUUACAAGUAUAUAAAUAAAAUAGAAGAUAUAUUAUCAUUAGGAUCUGUGGCGCAAUGGUAGCGCGUCUGACUCCAGAUCAGAAGGUUGCGUGUUCGAUUCACGUCAGGUUCAAAUUUUUUGCUAUGUACUGGACUUUCUAGAGCCCUUUGAACUAAUUUUUUUUCUUCAUGAACUUUCCUUGUGUUAGUUCUGCAUUACUCUCCUUUUGUUUUCCCCCUUCUUUUUCCUUCACUUGACUAAUUUUUAGUUUGAUAAUUGGGAUACAGAGAUGAGAAGAUUUGGACUUUCUAGAGCUCCAAUGGAUUUUUUUUUUCUUUCUUUUCUUUGUGAUCUUUACAUCUGAAAAUCAUCAUUGCAUUUUACAUGUGCUAUAUCUGUACAGAAGUAUUUAGCAAGGUCUGGCUUCUCUGUUGAUUGUUGUUAACUUGGAGAAAUCUUGUAAACCACUGUACAGAAGAUUUAGGAAUCCUCGUAAGGUUCUUCUUGUAAUCGACAUAGUAGAGGCCAAAUCUCACAGUGUAGCCCAUGUUCCAUUCCCAGUUGUCAAGUAAUGACCACACGAAAUAACCACGAACAUCACAUUUGUCUUCCCUGCAUUGAUUUAGUUUUCUGUUAAGAAGCAUUUGCAAUGUUUUAUCUGGAAGAAUAGGAUUUCAAACUCUGCAUUAUUACCUUAUGGCAGCUGAUAGGUUUGAGAGAUAGUCCCUGUGAAAACGUAUCCUCUUCUCAUCAUUUAGAGCCUUUUCCAUAGAUGUGAAAGGUUUAUUUGGAUCAUCCAUACCUGAUUUCACAAUGUGAAGUGUUUGUUAUUUCAAGAAUCAUUGAUGGAUGAAACCAGAAAUCAGAACCUACUCACCAUUUUCUGUUAUCAUCAUUGGGGGGUUCCCAUACUUAUCUUUGAUGUAUCUUGCCAACUUUCGGAUUCCCCAUGGGACUAUGCGCAACCAGCGAGAAGCUGCCUGGAGGAGGAAGAACUGAUGAGCUAGAAUGAACUUAAAUAUCAAACCAAUGUUUAUUUCAGGGCUUUAUCAAGUGGUUGAGACGUACUUUUUCUCCAAUAGCCACUCCUCCUUUGUAAUCUACAAUCAAAAUCAGAUACAACAGUUAUAUCAAUUGAAAUUCUGAAUUAUUUUUGGCUCUAUGACUUGGUACUUUUAGCCUUCUAGGUAGUGCUUAGUUCACUAGAAUGAACCUUGGAAUGGAAUAAGCAUUCUUAUUGAAUGUUGACUUUCUUGUUUGGAAUAUAUCUAAUUUUCACUACUGCCACUUUAAUUCUUUCACUAUUUGUUCUUAUUCGCAUAUCUUUCCAUUCCAUUCCUAUGUUCAUUCCAGCAGCCAAACACUACCUGGUGGCAAAACAUUGUUCUGUGGCAUCUUACGUGUUGUAAUGACUGCAGCAUCAGAUGUAGCAUCCUGCAAUAUAAAUUUUCGAAUUCGUGUCCUGUCAUUCCGAGCAUAUAAUGUGGUGUAGUGGUUUAUGCCGAUAAAGUCCACUGAUCCCACGAGGAAUUUUGAAACUUCCUUCGAAAUUGCAGGUAAUCGCUUACCCACAAGCUUCUUCAUUGAGAGAGGAUAAUCGCCAAAAAAUAGUGGAUCAAGGAACCUGAUUCACUUUUUCUGUGUCAUAUAUGUUCUGUUUAUACACAUUUUGUUACUACUUCUAAAUGACAUGAAUAAAUAACAUUUAUAAAAAAGUUACCAUCCCAAACUGAACUCAUUCGCUCUAUGUGCUGCAUCUAUAUCCUCAUCAGUUUCCGAGAGAGGUUCAUGCCAUUUGGCAUCCAAUGAAAUUCCAAUCUGACCUCCUUGUUUCUCCUAGGAGUCCCAACAGAAGAAAAUGUAAAAAUAAUUAUAGAAUGAUCACUAAAAGAUUUGGAAGGUAUCACAUAUGCAAGGUUCUAAAACUCGGUCAACUCGGCCGAGUACUCGGCGAGUACUCGGUACUCGGGUAGUCACCGUGGCGAUUUUGGCCUACUCAGUGCCUCUAGUCGGCCAGCAGAAAAUCGGCCGAGUACUCGGUCCAACUCGGUCAACUCGGUCAGCCGAAAAAAAAAAAAAAGAGAGGCAAACGACGUCGUUUUGAAACCCUAAUAAGAAGAAAUGUCUCUAGUCUCUCGCUCGGUCGCUCCAGACGCUCAGUCCCGAACCUUGCUCUCCAGUCGCUCUCACUCCCUCUCAGUCGCCCUCGCCCAGUCGCUCUCCCUCACCUCGCCGGNNNNNNNNNNNNNNNNNNNNNNNNNNNNNNNNNNNNNNNNNNNNNNNNNNNNNNNNNNNNNNNNNNNNNNNNNNNNNNNNNNNNNNNNNNNNNNNNNNNNNNNNNNNNNNNNNNNNNNNNNNNNNNNNNNNNNNNNNNNNNNNNNNNNNNNNNNNNNNNNNNNNNNNNNNNNNNNNNNNNNNNNNNNNNNNNNNNNNNNNNNNNNNNNNNNNNNNNNNNNNNNNNNNNNNNNNNNNNNNNNNNNNNNNNNNNNNNNNNNNNNNNNNNNNNNNNNNNNNNNNNNNNNNNNNNNNNNNNNNNNNNNNNNNNNNNNNNNNNNNNNNNNNNNNNNNNNNNNNNNNNNNNNNNNNNNNNNNNNNNNNNNNNNNNNNNNNNNNNNNNNNNNNNNNNNNNNNNNNNNNNNNNNNNNNNNNNNNNNNNNNNNNNNNNNNNNNNNNNNNNNNNNNNNNNNNNNNNNNNNNNNNNNNNNNNNNNNNNNNNNNNNNNNNNNNNNNNNNNNNNNNNNNNNNNNNNNNNNNNNNNNNNNNNNNNNNNNNNNNNNNNNNNNNNNNNNNNNNNNNNNNNNNNNNNNNNNNNNNNNNNNNNNNNNNNNNNNNNNNNNNNNNNNNNNNNNNNNNNNNNNNNNNNNNNNNNNNNNNNNNNNNNNNNNNNNNNNNNNNNNNNNNNNNNNNNNNNNNNNNNNNNNNNNNNNNNNNNNNNNNNNNNNNNNNNNNNNNNNNNNNNNNNNNNNNNNNNNNNNNNNNNNNNNNNNNNNNNNNNNNNNNNNNNNNNNNNNNNNNNNNNNNNNNNNNNNNNNNNNNNNNNNNNNNNNNNNNNNNNNNNNNNNNNNNNNNNNNNNNNNNNNNNNNNNNNNNNNNNNNNNNNNNNNNNNNNNNNNNNNNNNNNNNNNNNNNNNNNNNNNNNNNNNNNNNNNNNNNNNNNNNNNNNNNNNNNNNNNNNNNNNNNNNNNNNNNNNNNNNNNNNNNNNNNNNNNNNNNNNNNNNNNNNNNNNNNNNNNNNNNNNNNNNNNNNNNNNNNNNNNNNNNNNNNNNNNNNNNNNNNNNNNNNNNNNNNNNNNNNNNNNNNNNNNNNNNNNNNNNNNNNNNNNNNNNNNNNNNNNNNNNNNNNNNNNNNNNNNNNNNNNNNNNNNNNNNNNNNNNNNNNNNNNNNNNNNNNNNNNNNNNNNNNNNNNNNNNNNNNNNNNNNNNNNNNNNNNNNNNNNNNNNNNNNNNNNNNNNNNNNNNNNNNNNNNNNNNNNNNNNNNNNNNNNNNNNNNNNNNNNNNNNNNNNNNNNNNNNNNNNNNNNNNNNNNNNNNNNNNNNNNNNNNNNNNNNNNNNNNNNNNNNNNNNNNNNNNNNNNNNNNNNNNNNNNNNNNNNNNNNNNNNNNNNNNNNNNNNNNNNNNNNNNNNNNNNNNNNNNNNNNNNNNNNNNNNNNNNNNNNNNNNNNNNNNNNNNNNNNNNNNNNNNNNNNNNNNNNNNNNNNNNNNNNNNNNNNNNNNNNNNNNNNNNNNNNNNNNNNNNNNNNNNNNNNNNNNNNNNNNNNNNNNNNNNNNNNNNNNNNNNNNNNNNNNNNNNNNNNNNNNNNNNNNNNNNNNNNNNNNNNNNNNNNNNNNNNNNNNNNNNNNNNNNNNNNNNNNNNNNNNNNNNNNNNNNNNNNNNNNNNNNNNNNNNNNNNNNNNNNNNNNNNNNNNNNNNNNNNNNNNNNNNNNNNNNNNNNNNNNNNNNNNNNNNNNNNNNNNNNNNNNNNNNNNNNNNNNNNNNNNNNNNNNNNNNNNNNNNNNNNNNNNNNNNNNNNNNNNNNNNNNNNNNNNNNNNNNNNNNNNNNNNNNNNNNNNNNNNNNNNNNNNNNNAUAUGUCACAUUGUGUUCUUGUUCAGUUGUUCUGUGUUCUGUGUCACAAGUCACAACAAUAGCAGCAUAUUGCUAUUGUUCUGUUGAGCAUAUUGUUCUGUAUAACUGUAUAAGAGGAGUUCGGUUCUGUUAUUGUGUAUUUGUGUUGCCAGUGUUGGUAUGCCACAGCAGCAUAUGUGUUCUUGUUGUGUUGUUCUGUUUUUGAUAUGUCACAUUGUCACUUUAGGAAAAUGGCCGGAACAAUGUCUUCUUCUGCAUCUAAUGCAACGUCGGAGAUGGAUAGACGGGAGUCAUUGAAGCGCAAUUCAAGUGAUGUUGGGUGGGAGUACGGGAUGUUGAUUGAUCCAAAGAGAUUAGAUAGAGUAAAGUGUAAGCUAUGUGGGCACGAGAUGUCUGGUGGAAUUCAUCGGUUGAAGCAGCAUGUUGUUGGAAUCAAGGGCCAAGUGGCACCAUGUCCCAAGGCUUCGGCAGAGGCUAAAACCAAAUGCAAGAAUGCUCUUGCUGAGUCAAAGGUUAAGAAGAUUCAAAAGACUGCACAUGAAGAAGAAGUGAGGCAAGAAGUUCUUAUUCUUGAUGGGGCUGAAGAUGAGGAAGCAAGUCAAGGGACAAGAAGACAGCCACAUACUCUUGGGCCUAUGGACAAGUUUGCUAACAUAAUUGAUCCCGAUGCUACAUUGAGUGGAAGCAAGAAUACAAGACAACAAAAUAUCCAUGACACACUUUUCAAGGAACGAACGCAUAGUGUGCAUCAAUUUUUAGCAAGAUGGGUGUAUGAAGUUGGAAUUCAUUUUCAUGCUAUUGAUAAUGAUAGCUUCAAGAGGUUUGUAGAAGCGGUUGGUCAAUUUGGUCCGGGUUACCGACCUCCAAGCCAAUAUUUAUUAAGGGAGCCGUUAUUGAAGGAAGAGGUAGAUAGAACUAAAAGUUUGUUGAAGACCCAAGAACAAGAGUGGGCUUCAAAUGGUUGCUCUAUUAUGACCGAUGCUUGGAGUGACCGGAAAAGAAGUAUUAUGAAUUUGUGUGUCAAUUGCAAGGAAGGCACAACUUUUCUCUCUUCUAAGGAGGCAUCAAAUGAGUCACACACCGGGGCGUACAUUUUUGAAUACGUGGACAAGUGCAUUGAAGUAGUUGGGCCACAAAAAUGUGGUUCAAGUGGUGACGGACAAUGCUUCAAAUAAUAAUGGCGGCGGGAGAGUUGAUGAAGGUGAAGNNNNNNNNNNNNNNNNNNNNNNNNNNNNNNNNNNNNNNNNNNNNNNNNNNNNNNNNNNNNNNNNNNNNNNNNNNNNNNNNNNNNNNNNNNNNNNNNNNNNNNNNNNNNNNNNNNNNNNNNNNNNNNNNNNNNNNNNNNNNNNNNNNNNNNNNNNNNNNNNNNNNNNNNNNNNNNNNNNNNNNNNNNNNNNNNNNNNNNNNNNNNNNNNNNNNNNNNNNNNNNNNNNNNNNNNNNNNNNNNNNNNNNNNNNNNNNNNNNNNNNNNNNNNNNNNNNNNNNNNNNNNNNNNNNNNNNNNNNNNNNNNNNNNNNNNNNNNNNNNNNNNNNNNNNNNNNNNNNNNNNNNNNNNNNNNNNNNNNNNNNNNNNNNNNNNNNNNNNNNNNNNNNNNNNNNNNNNNNNNNNNNNNNNNNNNNNNNNNNNNNNNNNNNNNNNNNNNNNNNNNNNNNNNNNNNNNNNNNNNNNNNNNNNNNNNNNNNNNNNNNNNNNNNNNNNNNNNNNNNNNNNNNNNNNNNNNNNNNNNNNNNNNNNNNNNNNNNNNNNNNNNNNNNNNNNNNNNNNNNNNNNNNNNNNNNNNNNNNNNNNNNNNNNNNNNNNNNNNNNNNNNNNNNNNNNNNNNNNNNNNNNNNNNNNNNNNNNNNNNNNNNNNNNNNNNNNNNNNNNNNNNNNNNNNNNNNNNNNNNNNNNNNNNNNNNNNNNNNNNNNNNNNNNNNNNNNNNNNNNNNNNNNNNNNNNNNNNNNNNNNNNNNNNNNNNNNNNNNNNNNNNNNNNNNNNNNNNNNNNNNNNNNNNNNNNNNNNNNNNNNNNNNNNNNNNNNNNNNNNNNNNNNNNNNNNNNNNNNNNNNNNNNNNNNNNNNNNNNNNNNNNNNNNNNNNNNNNNNNNNNNNNNNNNNNNNNNNNNNNNNNNNNNNNNNNNNNNNNNNNNNNNNNNNNNNNNNNNNNNNNNNNNNNNNNNNNNNNNNNNNNNNNNNNNNNNNNNNNNNNNNNNNNNNNNNNNNNNNNNNNNNNNNNNNNNNNNNNNNNNNNNNNNNNNNNNNNNNNNNNNNNNNNNNNNNNNNNNNNNNNNNNNNNNNNNNNNNNNNNNNNNNNNNNNNNNNNNNNNNNNNNNNNNNNNNNNNNNNNNNNNNNNNNNNNNNNNNNNNNNNNNNNNNNNNNNNNNNNNNNNNNNNNNNNNNNNNNNNNNNNNNNNNNNNNNNNNNNNNNNNNNNNNNNNNNNNNNNNNNNNNNNNNNNNNNNNNNNNNNNNNNNNNNNNNNNNNNNNNNNNNNNNNNNNNNNNNNNNNNNNNNNNNNNNNNNNNNNNNNNNNNNNNNNNNNNNNNNNNNNNNNNNNNNNNNNNNNNNNNNNNNNNNNNNNNNNNNNNNNNNNNNNNNNNNNNNNNNNNNAUUCGGAGGGAGUACAAGAUGGAUAUGGAGAAGAAGAAUUUGAGGCUAUAGUUACAUAUGCUUGGGAUUGUUGCAAGAAUUGAAUUUGGUUUGCUUUUAUUACUUAUGUUAUUGUAAUGGACUAAUGGUUGUUUUAUUUUUAGACAUUAUUAUCUCUUAAAUAUUGUAAUAUUUUAUGGACUAUUUUAUUAUUUAGACAUUAUAUAUUAGAUUAUAUGUUUUAAAAAUAAUAAAAAAUCCAGAAAUUAGAAUCCGAGUACUCCCCGAGUACUCGGCCGAGUACUCCUCUACUCACUACUCACUGGCCGGCCGACCGACUACCGAGUAGCGAGUUUUAGAACCUUGCACAUAUGGAAGUGAGGGUACCUUGAAAUAUUGCUGGUAUGUAUGAUAAGUAGCAGCAUGGGACAGGAGGAUGUUGUGAGCGACAAUGUAUGGUUCAACAGAUGAAUUUCCUUUCUUACAAAACAAGUGACCAAGAAUAGAACAUCGUCCGGGAGCUUGUAUUCCCAAGUCAUAACUUUGAAGUGCAUAACCAUGAGGCUCGUUGAAGGUGAUCCAGUUCUUAACUCUAUCUCCAAAAGCUUGGAAGCAGGUGAUGGCAUAAUGUUCAAAGUCUUUUCUGCAAGUGAUUGAGGUAAUUAUAAGCUUAGUCAAAUCAGUACUCUAGCUUAUAACAUUUUCUGUAACUGAUAUUACAACACUUACACUAUCUGUGUGCUCAACCAUCCUUCAUAUUUGUCUUCAAGCAUCUGCGGAAGAUCCCAAUGAUAUAGAGUUACAAAAGGCUGGAUCCCUGAUUGGAAAGAAUUCUUUGACCUUUCAGUAAUGUUUCUGCUUCAAAGUAGAAUUACAUUCUUAAAAGUCUCAUUGAUUUACCUUUUUCAAGUAAAGAAUCUAUAAGGCUAUUGUAGUAGCUUAUUCCUUCUGAGUUGGGUGCUCCUGUUCCAUCUAUUCAACGAUAGUUUCAUAAACAGUUAUCAGCUACAAGGCAACUUGUCAUGAAGAAGAUAAUCAGAACAGAAUCAAAUCUUACUUGGAAAAAUUCGUGGCCACGAUAUUGAAAAUCUGUACGCAUUUACUCCCAUAUCCUUCAUCAAGUCUACAUCACCCUGUAAAUUUUGAAUGCUUAAUUUCCACUUGGAUAAUAAAUUUUUUUUGUUUAUACCAACAAGAAGGGUAAUGCCUCGCUGUCAUCGAUCAUAAUCAUUCAAUAUUCUUACAUUAUAUCAUAUACUAGUUUCAUUAUUGUUGCAAGAUUCCUCAACAUAAUGUUCAAGAAAAUACCCUUCUACCAGAAUGUGACAGGUUAUUAUGUGCUUAUUCGAUAAGAUAUCUUUGUCUAAACAAGAAAAAAUCUUGGAUUAAAUGUAAACAAAGUGAGUUGGAAGAAAUGAGCUUGCUUGUUAUCUUAAAACUCUUCAAAAUGGAAACACUGAAGUCAACUAAUGUCAUAUUCACUUCACCUGAAAUCUGUGAUAUUGAUCAACAGCUGUGUCUGCAUUGCUGAAAUCUAAAAUCUUCCCUGUCAAGCAUAUCAAAGAAGGAAAUUAAGCAAUUGCAUAUUGGCUUUUCCGAUGAUGUAUUCUGUGACUCUAUGUGCUUCAUGUAAACUAGCUAUUGAAUAUGAAUUCUACCUGGUACUUUUGUGAAAGUAUCCCAUACACUAGCUCCCUUGUUUCCUUCAUUCACAGCUCCCUCAAACUACCAAAUACAAACCAAAUAAUCAUCAAACUGAUGCUCUUAAUAUGCAGGAUAGCUAGCUCCUUAAUGUUUUGUUAAAACAAAAGCACAUAAGUACCUGGUAUGCCGAAGAAGCUGUUCCGAAAACGAACCCUUCAGGAAAAUCAGCUCUGCUAAGAGAUUGAGAGAUUGUAAAGAGCCUGGUUAUCAGUAACAGGAUGAUGCAUAGUUUCAUGGUGAAGCAGCCUUCAGUUUCCGAGCUGGAAGUUCCUCUGGUGUUCCAGGUAACUUUCCAGCCUCAUUGAAGAACAGAAUGCUUGCUUUUUGGGAAUUCUAAAUUUUAUAGAGGCCGUUUAAGCUGUCGUAACUGUAAAGUGAAGAAUAUAUAGAAGAAGAAACGGGCAAAAGCAGCCGCGAAGAAGAAGGUGACACAUGUGAUUUGUUUUUAGAAGAAUAGAUAUUUUCUUUUUUCGUUUUCAACUUGCUUGAUAGCAUGACAUGCACUAUGAUGUUGAGUGUCCGAACAAGUUAAGACUUUA